CUACUCACCUUCCGGGAGAAGCACGAUAAAUCGCAUUGAAAAAAGGUGGGAGCCAAGCCGGACUGUGAGAUCAAAGAAGGAUGAAGCCGAUCCGGAUUGGGGAACGUGGGGGGAAAGAGGGGGAAAUGGUGGAAAGAAGGAGAAAAUGUGGAAAAGGUGGAAGAAAGACGAAAGGAAACAAAAGGGAAACGUGGAAGAACGGAAGAAAUGGGAGAAGUUGGAAAAGGGACUGAGGUCAAAGAAAACAGAUACACGGGGUUGAGUGGCAAACAGGCCACUGGGCGGGGGUACAUGGAAGAUGAAGGAGAAGGAGAAGGAAAGAAAAGGAAAAAGGAGAAAGGAGAAAGGAGAAGAGAAGGACUGCCACCGACCCUGGCCAUAACUAGGGUCGGUGGCUGCGGGAAGAAUGAAGUGGAGGACACACACACAACAGGUAUAACAAGUUUAGGAACCGGAAGGCGAUAUUCCGUUCCUUAUUCGUAAUUUUUUUCACACAUACCGCAAAGCUUUUGAAAUGAACAAACCAACUCGUAUAUAUUCGCUUCAGACCUAGGGGAUAAGAACGAUAGAUCCAGAUGUUUUCCUGUUCUCAAGGUCUGCGUGUGCCUGUGCUGCUUCAGAUAAUGAGUAGGUGUGAUUCACUCGAACCCGCAAUAUACCCGAUGCAACAUUAGCAAAUACCUCUCCUGCAGCCUUCCUCUCGGGUUACAGCGUAAUGAAAGAGGCUAGGCCGAGUCAAGAAGAGUGAUUUCGCUGCAAGGGCUGAUAAUGGAACUGGAUCAGACGCACCUGAUGACUGCCCAAAAUUCACCAUGUAUCCCCGAAGUUUUAAGACUUCCAGUGAUCCCUGAAAACAAUACCUCCCGAUAAGAAUUCAUAGUCGACAACAUUACUUAUCUAUUAGAUGAUGUCAAUGUUGGAGUUGAGUAGUUUGGAUAAAUCAUGACAAGCUUAUGAAUAUAAGACAAGUAUAACUUACCUCAAACGUAUCCUUCCCUACAGAAUCGUAGACAACUUCAACCCCAUUGUUGCGAUGGGGGGUGAGAACGGGAAAGCCAUUGUAGCAGUUGCAGAGACCAGAAUCAAAUUAUAAGGGCAAAGACCAGUUCAGCCUGUUUUGAAGGGAACAGAUAAAAAAUAUGUCAAAGAAGAUCGAAGGCCACUACUUUUCAGAGGUUCUACAAAUUCAAGAGAAAAAAUGGCAAUAAAUCACAACGGUUUCCCUCUUUCGCUAAGAAAAACUAAGGUAUAUAUAAGAAGGAAACCAGCUUUGAUUUCACACGAACUCGAAAACCAAGUUAAACAAUAAAUCAUCAAAAUUUCCCUCUACUCCAAUAAAGCAACGUAAACAAUAAUCUUUCUGAGUCAACUGUUUGGUUGGUGAGAAAAUAAAAGAAAGUCAAAUCCUCUCCCCCCAUCAUUCCCAAAUACAAAAUUUCUCAAGUUAAAUUAAAAAACUUAAAAUCUCAACUAAACCAAUCAGCUCCAAUCAAUUCUUUUCACUGUAAUCUGUCUAAAGAUGAUUCCUUUUUCAUCAAAUGUUAUCCAAUUAUCAAAACCCAGUUCCUACUAAUUACAUAUAAAAAUUGGCCAAAUCAACAUCAAUCAACCUGAUUAAAAUUUUAAUUACAAAUUGAAAAGGAAAAUAGUACUAAUACAGCAGUAGUUGAAUAAAAUUUUAAUUUACUUUUCCACUAAUUAAAACAAACAAAAACGCCAGUUUUAAUCAGUGAAAUUCGAGAGAAGAUUACCUCGUUGGGGCUUGCUGAUCAAGGAAGCUAGAAGCGAAGCAGCUGAAGGGCGAAUAUUGCACAAUUGCAAAUAGAAAAAUCCAUUCUUUUUAGAGAGAGAGAGAAGAGAGAGAGAGAGAGAGGAGAGAGAAAGUCGUCCUCUAGAAAAUUAAAAAAAAAGCGCUUGUCUGCGAUUGGUUGGGCAUUCAGUGGGGUAGGCGGACGAAUAGUAUGACGCCACGUACGCGCUAACUGGCGAACACGCGGGCUGGGACUCGCGGGUGAUCCUGGAGAUUUAACUGAUAUAACCGUCGCGUGCGCGGACUGAACACUUUUGUUUGGUUUGAAGUUUAAAGUUAUGAUUGAGAUUAACGUAUUCUUUUGUUGAAAGUAGACUGAGAUAAUCAACUUCUUAAUCAAACUGCCUGUGUCAAGGGCCCCACUCCACUCCCACGUUGUAAUCUUUUCUGUUAUGGUGAUGGUGCUAAGUAAAAUCAAGGGUGAGGAUUGAGGGAAUCAAUCAAACGGUUGGCAAUAAAUAAGAAAGUUCGAAAAGUCAACCUGCUCAUAGCAGGUAAUGUUUGGACCUACUUAUUUCAACUCAUUUAGGUAAAUUUAGCCAAGGAUUUUCAUGGAUCAAUGAGCUAACUCAUUAUAUAUGUGUACUUUUUUUUAAUUUUAUAUUUAUAAAUUUAUUGAAUUUAACGGCUAAAACCUAAUGUGAUCAAAUCCAAUGAUAAAAAAAAAAAAUCUAACGUUCCAAAUUUAAAUUCAAUGGCUAAAGUAAAUAAAAAAAUUAUUUUAUGUGUUUCAUAUUCUUUCAUAGUGUUCCAUGAGUUUCAUGAUGUUGAUUUAGAGAUUUUUCAAUAUAUAUCGGAAUCUAAUUUUUUUUUAGGUUAAAAUGUUCAUAAAAUUAAAUUAUGAUAGUCUACCUAAUAUUUUUUUAAGUUACUUUAAGAAAAAAAUAUCCUAAAUUCAUUCUUUAAUACUCUCGGGCUAAAAUUUAAACCAAAAGCUUUGGAGGAGAAAAAUUGUUUCUGGUUAAACCCCAAAUUUUCUAGCUUAAAAAUUUGAAGUUUUAACUCAAAAGUUGGAGAUGAUCAAGUAAAGGAAUAGGAUCCUCUCAAGAUCCUAGCAAAAAUUGAACAGUCAAAAAUUAAUUUUUUGUUUAUGUCCACUUUUUUCUGUCCAUAUUCUUUUAUCUUCACCUUUUGCUGUUCAUCUUCUUCCAUCUUCUUCCCGGUUAAUAUGCUCAUGUUCAUCUUCUUCUCUCUUCAAGGUCAUUUAAUGGAAUAAUGUUUGAUUAUUAUUGUUGUUGUAUUUUUUUUUAACAAACGAUAUUAUUUAUACUAACAGUGUAGGGGAGUUAACUCAGCCUUACAAUGAGUUAGCAAUGAUGUGAUUCAAAUUUAUCUUUAACGAGAUUCAAACUUAAAACCUCUCAUUUACAAAUGAUAUUGUUGUUGUAUUUAAACCUUGGAUUUUUAACAUUUUUUAAUAUUUAGUAUUGAAUGAUAUGAAAAUAAAUGGUUAAUUUAAAAAAAAAGAAUAUUUGUAACAUAACAUUGAAUAAUAAGAGCAAUGAUGCCAUACUCGUAAAUCACUGUUUGUUUAUGUUAUUUUAUUUUAUUUUAUAUAAUCAAUUCAUAGAUCUUCGUUAUAAGUACAUCAAAGAGCUUCCAUCUUGGUGUCCUUGCUAGAGUCCCCCACAAUCCUCCUCCAAAACCAGUGCUCCUGCCACACUAUCUCCAUCUUCUCAAUCGGCACAUUCUUCGUCUCCGGCAAAAACAAGUACACAAACACCGUCAUCACCGCCACCCAACCCCCGAAAAAGAAGAAAAUCCCAGCCUUGAAGUGGCACAGCAUUGCUAGAAAAGUUUGAGCAACAAUGAAAGUGAACAAAAAGUUCACCACCACAUUGAUACUUUCUCCCGCUGAUCGAAUUUCCAACGGGAAAAUCUCACUCGGAACCAACCAUCCGAGCGGCCCCCAUGACCACCCGAAUCCCGCUACAUAAAUGCAUAUCAAAACCAGCACCAAAUAGGCAUACCCCUUGCUCACUCCACCGCGAUCACCAAGCUGAGCUGCCAUUACACCUCCCACCACGAUUUGUGACACCAACAUUUGAAUCCCACCAGCUAAAAACAACGCUCUUCGCCCAAAUUUGUCUACGAUAAGCAUAGAUACGAAUGUUGAGAUUGUACCAACCACUCCAGUCGUCAGGACAACGGACAAGAGCGAAGCGCUUUCUCCCAACCCAAUUGUUCGAAAAAGUACGGCAGAAUAAAAGGAUAUGACAUUGAUCCCUGUCACUUGCUGAAAAAAUGGUAUGGCUAUUGCCAUCACAAGCUGAGGCCUAUACUUUCUCUCCAGGAUUUUCUUAAAAGGGUGUUUAAUGUUUUUCCAUAUGUUGUUUGCCUUGAUCAGAUCAUCGAGUUCUGCUUGGACAUCAUUGACACCUCUGAUACGUUGUAGCAUUUGCUUGGCUGUAUGGUGAUCCGCGCUAUGCUGGAUUAGGCUGUUAGGUGUUUUGGGAAGGAAAAAUGCUCCCAGUGUUAGCAUUGAGGCAGGGACUGCAGCCAUGGCUAGGGAGAUUCGCCACCCCCAACCGCCUUUGAUCUUCUCAGAGCCGUAGUUGAUGAGGUUAGCUGAUAAUACGCCAAUGCCGACGCUAAAUUGGAAGCCAUUGUUAAUUGCUCCUCUGUAUUUUGGUGGUGCCAUUUCCGAAAGGUACAAUGGAACAGCCUGCACAACACAAACACAGAUUACACAAGUAACACGAAAAAUAGAAACAUCGAAUAGGGUAUGCUUAUAUGAUUAAUGUUGGGGGCAAAAAGUACUACCUGAUUUCCAAAACCAAUACCAACUCCAAGCAAUAAGCGGCCGAGGAUGAGCAUGUAGAUGUUCAUAGCUGCGCCAUUUAGAGCUGAGCCGGCAAGGAAUGCAGCUCCACCGGCAAGGAUUGAAGGCUUGCGGCCGUAAGCCCUUGUGACCAAACCGGCAAAAAGGGAAGCUACAAGACCAGCUAUGUAGAGUGAGGAUGUGAAGGAUGUUGAUUAUUGACUCAAACAUGUAGUCAAAGUCCAAAUCUUUGGGCUACUUUUGUGGUCAAAAUUGUUGGAUGGCAUGCUACAUGUGGGAAACCAAAAUUGGAUGCACUUAUGCCUAAUUCUUUUUGACUUGAUGUUAGGCCUUUGGCCAUUGAUGUCUUUGAGAAGCUUUUCUUUGGCUAUAAAAGGAGAGCAAGGUGCAACCCAUAAGCAUGGAGAAGUAGAGAAGAACAAGGAAGAGAGAAAAAUAGCAAGAAGCCAUUUGGCAUAGAGAAGAAUUUUCUCAAAUUGUCUUGUUUUGUAUUUUUGGUUUUCUCUUCCUAUUGUAAGUGUGAGAGCUUGGGGUUAUUUGGGUCUUUGGGAAAUUGAGUGAUAAACACUAUUGUAUGUUCUCAUUGAUUAUAGUGGAAUACUCCGUCGUCUCCAAACUGGAUGUAGGCAUUGCCGAACCAGUAUAAAUCUUGGUGUUCUUGUUGGUGUUGUUUUUAUUCUGUUCUGUCUUACUAUUCACUUACAGUCGUAUGCCGCUUCCGCACAACAAGUGGUAUCAGAGCCCAGUUCUGUGAAUAGUGUUGGCGCUACAGUUCAGUGAACAGUGAACUGCUACAGUAUCUGUGAACAGUAUUGUACCUGUGAACAGUGCCGUAUUUGUGAAUAGUGCCGAGUAGAUGGCUGGAGAUAAAGAUGAAUCUGUAAGGAAGGAGUCAGCAUCGUCUUCGUCUACAUCCAAUAGACAUCCAACCACUACUACAAGGUUAGAGGUUGAUAAAUUCAAUGGCUCUAAUAAUUUUGGUAUGUGGCAAUGUGAAGUUAUGGAUGUGUUGUAUCAACAAGAGUUGGAUAUGGUUCUGGAAGAUAAACCAGAAGAUAUUGAUGACAAGCAGUGGACACGAAUUAAUCUUCAUGCUUGUGCUGCUAUUCGAUCAUUCAUUGAUAAGGAGUUGAAAUACCCGUAUAUGAAGGAAACUUCUGCUAAGGAGUUAUGGACGAAAUUGGAGGAGAAGUAUAUGACCAAGAGCGCAGAAAAUCGUCUCUUCUUGAAGAAGCGACUCUUCCGAUUUCAGUAUCGUCCAGGUAUCUCUAUGCAUGAACACCUCAAUGAUUAUAAUAAAAUACUUGCUGAUUUAGCAAACCUUGAUGUGAAAAUUCCUGACGAGGACAAGGCACUAUGUUUGUUAAAUUCAUUGCCUGAUGAUUAUGAUCAUUUGACAACUACUCUGUUGUAUGGAAAAUCCGAGGUGAAACUUGAUGAGGUGUCUGCGGCAUUGGUGAAUCAUGAGUGUCGUAAGAAGGAACUGAAGACUCACAAUUCACAAACCGAGGCAUUUGUUGCAAGGGGUCGAACAGAGGAAAGAAAAUCUGGGAAGCGGGGAAAAUCUCGUUCAAAGUCACGAGGGAAGUUUCCUGCUAAAGAUGAAUGUGCUUUUUGUCGCCAAAAGGGGCAUUGGAAGAAAGACUGCCCCAAAUUGAAGAACAAAGAGAAGGAGAAAGCGGGUUCUGAAGCAAAUAUUGCAAAAUCUGGAGAUGAUGAUUUCGAGUUUGCUUUGGCUAGUUCAUAUGCUAAUGGUCACUCAAAUGAGUGGAUUUUGGAUUCAGGUUGCACCUAUCAUAUGUGUCCCAUUCGGGAAUGGUUUUCUAAUUUCAAGGAGCUGGAUGGUGGAGUUGUUUUGAUGGGUAAUAAUAAUGCCUGCAAAACACAAGGGAUAGGCAAAAUCUGUUUGAAGAUGCAUGAUGGAACAGUCAGAGAAUUAAGUGAUGUUCGGUAUGUACCGGAUAUGAAGAAAAAUCUCAUCUCACUGGGUGCAUUGGAAUCCAAGGGUCUCAAGAUCACCAUGGAGGGUGGAGUUCUUAAAGCUGUGUACGGGGCACUGGUGGUGAUGAAAGGUACAAGACGAAAUAACUUGUAUUUCUUGCAGGGGAGUACAGUUAUUGGUGGAGCAGCUGUCACCGAAGCUGCUGACGCAGAUAGCACAGACACCACGAGGUUAUGGCAUAUGCGUCUUGGGCAUGCUGGUGAAAAAGCGUUGCAAGGAUUGGUGAAGCAAGGCUUAUUGAAAGGUGCAAAGGCAUGCAAAUUGGAAUUCUGUGAGCAUUGUGUGUUGGGUAAGCAAACUAGAGUAAAAUUUGGCACUGCUAUUCACCACACUAAGGGCAUUCUUGAUUAUGUUCACACUGAUGUUUGGGGACCUUCCAAGAAUGCAUAUUGGGGAGGUAGCCAUUAUUUUGUCUCCUUUGUUGAUGACUUCUCUAGAAGAAUAUGGGUGUACACCAUGAAGCGUAAAGAUGAAGUCUUGAAGAUAUUCCUGAAGUGGAAAAAGAUGAUUGAAACGCAAAGCGGUCGAAAGAUCAAGACUCUCAGAUCAGACAAUGGGGGUGAAUAUAAGUCUGAUCCUUUCUUGAAAGUUUGUCAAGAUGAGGGUAUUGUGAGGCACUUCACGGUUAGGGAGACACCGCAACAGAAUGGGGUGGCAGAGCGCAUGAACCGUACUUUGCUUGAGAAAGUUCGGUGUAUGUUGUCUAAUGCUGGAUUAGGCAAGGCGUUUUGGGCUGAGGCACUCACUUAUGCAAGCCAUCUCAUUAAUCGAUUGCCAGCUGCUGCGAACGAGGGCAAAACGCCCAUGGAGGUAUGGUCUGGUAAACCUUGUACUGAUUACAAGUUUUUACACAUAUUUGGUUGUCCUGCUUACUAUCAUGUCAGAGAAAGCAAGUUGGAUCCAAGAGCAAAGAAAGCUCUAUUUAUGGGCUUUAGCACUGGCGUGAAGGGAUACCGACUCUGGUGUCCAGAUGAGAAGAAAUUUGUUGUAAGCAGAGAUGUGACUUUUGAUGAGGCUGCUAUGGUUAAUCAGAACAAGCAUGAAGGUGAAACUAAAGCGACCGAGACCAUGAGUAGCUCAAAGCAGGUGGAGUUACUGAAGACUCCAGUUGUUCCAGUAAGGUCUGAUGUUUCAAACACUAGUCCUACAGUUAAUUCUGAUGAUGAGGACGAGGAUGAUGAAGAGGAGGCACCUACCCAAGAGCCUCCACAGCAACAAGACUAUAUUGCAACCAGAAGAUCGAGAAGGGAAAUCCGAAAGCCUGCUCGAUUUACUGAUAUUGUGGCAUAUGCACUUCCCGUUAUUGAAGAUGAUAUUCCAUCCGCCUACAAAGAAGCUGUCAUGAGUUCAGAGUGCGAGUUGUGGAAGAAAUCUAUGGAUGAGGAGAUGAAAUCUCUUCAUAAAAAUGAGACUUGGAAGCUGGUUCAGUUACCAAAGGGGAAGAAAGCAAUUGGUUGUAAAUGGGUGUAUGCCAAAAAGAUGGAAUCUUUGGGAAAAGACAAUGUAAGAUUCAAAGCCAGAUUGGUAGCUAAAGGCUACGCUCAGAAGGAAGGCAUUGACUACAAUGAGGUAUUUUCUCCUGUAGUAAAACAUUCUUCUAUUCGUAUUCUGUUGGCUUUGGUUGUGCAGUUUGACCUUGAGUUGGCCCAACUUGAUGUCAAGACUGCGUUCUUACAUGGUGAUUUGGAGGAAGAGAUUUAUAUGUCUCAGCCAGAAGGUUUUAAGGUUGCUGGAAAGGAAAAUUGGGUUUGCAAAUUGGAAAAAUCAUUGUAUGGCUUGAAGCAGUCUCCAAGACAAUGGUACAAGCGAUUUGAUAGAUUUAUGAUCGGGCAGAAGUACACAAGAAGUCACUAUGACCAUUGUGUAUACUUUCGCAAACUACAAGAUGGAACCUUCAUUUAUCUGCUUUUAUAUGUUGAUGAUAUGCUUAUAGCAUGUAAGAGCAAAGUGGAGAUUACAAGGUUGAAGACUCAACUAAGUAAUGAAUUUGAGAUGAAGGACUUGGGAGAAGCUCGGAAGAUACUAGGUAUGGAAAUUGAAAGAGAUAGAGCGAAGGGCAAGAUUAGUCUGUGUCAGAAGCAAUAUUUGAAGAAGGUACUACAACGUUUCAGGAUGAAUGAAAAUUCAAAACCGGUUAGUACACCUCUUGCCUCUCAUUUCAAACUUAGCGCUUCUAUGUCUCCUAAAACUGUUGAAGAGAGUCAGUACAUGGCUCAAAUUCCUUAUGCAAAUGUUGUUGGUAGUUUGAUGUAUGCUAUGAUGUGUACUAGACCUGAUAUUUCACAAGCUGUUAGCAUUGUCAGUAGAUAUAUGCAUAAUCCAGGAAAAGGGCAUUGGCAAGCUGUGAAAUGGAUUCUACGGUAUAUUCUGGGUACUGUGGAUGUUGGUUUAUUGUUCCAGCAGGAUAAAGUUACUGGUAAAUGUGUUGUUGGAUAUGUGGAUUCUGAUUACGCAGGUGAUUUGGACAAGCGUAGGUCCACUACUGGUUUUGUAUUCUCUAUUGCUGGAGGUCCAAUAAGUUGGAGGUCGAUUCUGCAAUCUACAGUUGCUUUGUCGACUACUGAGGCAGAAUACAUAGCUGUGACAGAAGCUAUAAAGGAAGCCAUCUGGCUUCAAGGGUUGCUUGAUGACUUAGGGGUUCAACAAGACCAUGUGGAUGUUCAUUGCGACAGUCAGAGUGCUAUUCAUUUAGCAAAGAAUCAAGUUCAUCAUGCACGUACGAAACACAUUGACGUGAGGUUCCAUUUUGUUCGUGAGAUUAUUGAUGAGGGAGAUAUUCUUCUUCAGAAGAUUGGGACCGCUAACAAUCCUGCAGAUAUGUUAACAAAGCCAGUUUCGUUGCACAAGUUUAAGCACUGCUUAGACUUGAUUGGCGUUUGUAAAAUUUGUUGAUUGCCCCAUGGGGGAUUGGGAGACGACUAUUAGGAGUUCUACUUAGAGGGUUUGAGUCAAGGUGGAGAUUGUUGAUUAUUGACUCAAACAUGUAGUCAAAGUCCAAAUCUUUGGGCUACUUUUGUGGUCAAAAUUGUUGGAUGGCAUGCUACAUGUGGGAAACCAAAAUUGGAUGCACUUAUGCCUAAUUCUUUUUGACUUGAUGUUAGGCCUUUGGCCAUUGAUGUCUUUGAGAAGCUUUUCUUUGGCUAUAAAAGGAGAGCAAGGUGCAACCCAUAAGCAUGGAGAAGUAGAGAAGAACAAGGAAGAGAGAAAAAUAGCAAGAAGCCAUUUGGCAUAGAGAAGAAUUUUCUCAAAUUGUCUUGUUUUGUAUUUUUUGGUUUUCUCUUCCUAUUGUAAGUGUGAGAGCUUGGGGUUAUUUGGGUCUUUGGGAAAUUGAGUGAUAAACACUAUUGUAUGUUCUCAUUGAUUAUAGUGGAAUACUCCGUCGUCUCCAAACUGGAUGUAGGCAUUGCCGAACCAGUAUAAAUCUUGGUGUUCUUGUUGGUGUUGUUUUUAUUCUGUUCUGUCUUACUAUUCACUUACAGUCGUAUGCCGCUUCCGCACAACAAAGGAGGUCAACAGUUCACUGUCAAAUUUACAGUAGUUGCUGAUUUUGGUGUCCGAUUUCAUCUUAGUGUUUACUUCAGGGAAGAAUUUUUUAAGAAACGGCUCCAUUGAUGUCACGCCGCCUGAAAUUCCAAUGUCGUAGCCGAAAAUUACACCUCCUAUGGCUGCCAUCAUGCAAGAGAGGAUGACAAACGGCGUCAUCUUGCCAUUGUAUUGCCCGGCUUCGCCUGCUAUUGCUAACUCAACUGCCAUUGCUUCUUCCAAGCUCACACACAAAUAGAUAUGAAGAGAGAACUCAGAGUUGUGAUUUGUACUAAGAGAAUGGAAAUAUAGUGAGAAGUCUUGCUCCAUUUUCUGACAAAUACGAUAUUUUAAACUACUGUAAUCUACGGAUAACGAAUUCUUCCUAACCACGUCUCCAAGAGUGGUCUUACUUGACUGGUGUAUUUCAACAAAUGGUUUUGGACUUGUACGGAAUAUGUAGGCAGUGGUUGCAAUCACUACCACUACUAGAUAACUUCAGGCAGGACCAUAAGCAUUUGUCUGAACUCUGAAGAAAGUUAAGGGUCUAUUUGGCCACUCUUCAGCUGCCAUUGCCUGGUUUAACAAACCCUUUCGUACUUAAUCACUCUUUUUUUGCUGCUUUAAUAUCUGCUUUGCCGUUAAUCGCGAGCACUUAAACUUGUCGACCGCUGCCACCCGUUGGUACCCUGCCGGAGCUACUUGGUAUGGUAGUCCGGAUGCCGCCGGAAGUGGCGGUGUAAUGCAUGAUUAAUGUAUACAUGUUUUGUAAUUUUUGGUUUACAGAUAAUACAGUAUAGUUACUUAAUUAUUAAUAUUAAUAGCAUAUGCUAAACUAAUACAUUAUUGUCAUAUUAUUCAAAGUGAUUUCAAAACUACUUUCAUUUACGGUAAGAGAGGCUCGGAGCUAAUACAAAGAACAAAAAUAAACAGCGAAUGUGCAGAAGGAGAAAAAAAAAUGUGUGCUGAAAUCGUUUCCCAAAUUAUUCUAAAGUGAAUGGCAUGAAAGCAAAAAGAUAGAGAGAGACUACCAGAAACAAUAGAGAGUGUGCCAGUCGGGCACCUUGGCAUGCUUCCCACGUCACUCUAGUUACAUCGGCACCCUAGCAUGAACUCCACAUAUUAGAAUUCGAGGGCUCACUUGAGAAAAACUGUGUCCAUCCUCACGUGAUGAGAGAGACAUAUGUUACGUGAUACAUACCCUGCUGUUUCACAGAAACAGUUUUGCCUUUCAGCAGAAAUGUGAAAAAUACAAUUGACUUUUUUGCUUGCUUAACAUGUCUGUCUGUCACUAAAGUUGGAGAUAACAUCAUUGCAUUUUGCAAACCAACUCAUAUUAAUCUGUUCACAAAGAACAACAGUUGAGGCAAAAAUUUUAGGGUAUAAGCACAGCCGAGCCGGAUGUUUUCCUGUUCUUAAGGUCUGCAUGAGCUUGUGCUGCGUGAGACAAUGGGUAUUUGUGAUUUACUCGAACGCGCAAUAUGCCUGAUUCAACAUUAGCAAAUACCUCUCCCGCAACCUCUACCAAUUUGUCUCGAGCUGCAGUGUACUGGAACAGGCCGGCCUGGUCAGGAAGAGUGACUUUGCUGCAAGAGCUGAUAGUGGGACCGGAUCAAUUGCACCUGAUGUUUGUCCGAAACUCACCAUGUAUCCACGAGUCUUCAAGCAUGCCAAUGAUCCCUGUAAACAAUGCCCCAAUUAAGUCCUAAUUCCAAAAUUCACCAUUAAGAAAUUAGACUAGAUAAUCUUCUGAACUGAAAAAAAUCAAAGGGUAACUAGCAUUUGCUUUAACAGUUUCAUAAAACUAGCUCGAACGGAACAGUAUAGAGAUUUGGUAUGCCUGGCCUAUCAUUGAGAAACUUCAACGCUAGAUUAGGUAAUAAGUCACAGAAAAGCAGAAGUAGUAACAAGCUGUGUUGAUACUCAAUGAAACCAAGAAUAUCAAAGGAACGGUGCAGAAGGAGAACCUAGAAUCAUUUCUGUAACUUUUGUAUAAAAUUGAGGGAUGGUAAGAUUUACCUGAAAGGUAUCCUUCCCUACAGAAUCAUAGACAACAUCAACCCCAUUGUCAGAUGUUAUUUCUGUCACUCGAGCAACAAAAUCCUCUUCGUGUAGACUAUGACAUGGUGACACCCAUCAUCCUUGGCCUGAGCUGUCUUCUCUUUAGUUGAUAGAGUUCCAAUGACAGUUGCACCAAGCGCAUUAGCCCACUGGCAUAAAAGGGAUCCAACUCCACCAGCUGCUGCGUGAACAAGGACCAUGUGUCCUGGUUUGACCUGUAUAAUUAACAGCACAAAAUUCAGCUCGAACAUUAAAAGCAGCAGCAUUCAAAUUUAUAAACAAUUUCUAACAUUGAAUCAACCGUGUUUAGAUAAUGAAAUUACAAGUUCAGGAAGCAUUUAGUUACAACUUGACCACCAAUAUUUGUCAGUUGAUUGUAUUUUUUUGACACAUUAAUCACAUAGUUAACAAUACAGAAAAUUGUACAAUAAAACAACCUUGAAAGACUGACGUAGUAGAACCUGAGCUGUCAUACCCUUAAGCAAUACGGAUGCUGCAACAAUAGGAUCAAUUGAAGGAGGAACGGGCACCACUUUGUUUUCAGGAAGGAUCUGCUCUUCCGCAUAUGACCCCAUCGGAGUGCCAACAUAGGCCACCAGAUCUCCAACUCGCCUGUCUGUUACCCCAGGUCCUACGGCUGUCCCAACUCCACAAGCUUCCAUACCUGAAAUGAAAAUUGAUUUGUAGUGACGUUGAGUUUCUCGACCAUUUCUCUUAAGGAUUAGUCAGUUCUAUUUCAAACAGCAGGAAUGGCUAAUCUGGUUUCAUGCCCGGCAUUCUUUUAGUUUUGCUAAAUCAUUCUUGAUCAUAUCUGAAAACUGUAAUCUCACGCGAAAUGUUUACUCAAGAAACUGUUAAGAAAAAACUAAACUUAGAAAUUAUGCCUUCAAAGAGUGGACUAGAUGUCAAUCCUUCCUACAUUUCGGAACUUGGAAAUGAAGCAAAACCUGGGGAGAAGGGCAUUGUAUCAGCCUUAUAAUAAAGUCCUUUGCAGAAGUAUAAGGGCAUUGUAUCAGCCUUAUAAUAAAGUCCUUUGCGGAAGUAUACAUCGAUGAAAUUAACCCCUAUCGCCUUGUUCUUCACACGAACCUCCCCCUCUUCCGGCUCUCCUAUUUCCACAUCUUCCCAUUUCAAGACCUAGCAGCAUUACAUCACAAAAUUAAGUGAAAUGGGGAUAAAAGCAUUGGAAAUUUGGAUAAUGACAUAUAGCUGAACCAGAUUGCAGAUGAAAGGAAAAUUACGAGCAAAGGAAACUUCUUUCAAGGAAAACAAACUGAAGUAAAACUCGAAAACAAACGGGUUUUGAAUAAUAUGUUUCAAAGGUUGUGUAUGAACACACUUGAUGUGGCUCGAGAUAAACUAUAAACACAAUAUAAACUUAAGUUUACAAACUCAAAUACUUCAAGGCCUCGCUCGAUGUCUAUGAUUGAAUUGGACUGAAAAAUCGCUAGAUUCAAUGUAUGUCAAAGAAAGAAAUUUGGAAGGCAGAAGAAGGAUUAAUCAUGAAGAACAUUCCAAUCGCCAAGGAAAUGGUAGGAUUGGAAGGGAUAAGCUUACUUCUUGACUACUCCUACUUCUACUUUCAACUUAUGGCUCGUCUGGAAAUAUUUUUAGAAUGACUGAAAGUGUUUUUGGUGAAACUGAUUUUGGAUUCCAAAAACACUUGGAAGAAGCAUCAAAUAUGUGUUUCUUGCAGGAAGCAGUUCAAGUGUUUUCACAAAAUAUUUUCACAAAAAACACUUUCUGUUAUUUAAAAGUACUUCCAAACGGCCAAAGACAAAAUUUAGAAGUUGACUUCCAUUUCUUCCUUCGACAUUGAAUCAUAGUGAGUUAUUGAAUCUAGUCAAAUCCUUGACACCAAACAAGAACUAUCCUUCUCCGGAUUAGUCCGAUGAAUACAAUGGCAUAAGAAAUCAUGUACUCUUGGCUAAAAGCAGAAAGGCUAUCACUUUCAGCCUGUUACCAGAUUUUCCAUCAAACAACUUGGAUUUAUUGUAAACAUAAAUAGUUUACAAAUGAAAUCAGGCACUUAAUAUUGCAACCGACAAACAAGUCUUGAUUUUGUGAUCACAAAUUCAAACAUUCAAGUUACCCAAAAAAAUACAGGAGAGAGAGAGACCUGAGGACCACCAAGUUCAUGAACUCUAAUGGCUUUCACCAUCUUUGUUGGCGAUACUGCUUGAUUCUGGGUACGGACUAUUUUCCGGUCAAAAGUGUGAUUUCUUGGUAAUUAUCCCUUAAUAAUUAGCCUAACCCGUGUUAAUAUUAUAAUGUUGGACCUACAUCUUUUUUUAGUCUAUGUCUCAUACACGCACCAGAAAUCAUAAAGAGUUGUGAUAUUUCCACUCUGAUAUCUUAUUUUCUUACCUAUCAUUUAAUGAAAAUGUUAAUAACAUAUUUAUCCUUUUAAAAGAAGACUCUUAAACCUUUAUUUAAUUCAGUACUAAAAUCUUGAAAAAGCAAAAAAUAAUUUAAAAUAAUAAAUAAAUAAUGGUGGGUGGGGUGUGAUAUCUUUGGUGGAAAGAGGUUGUGAAAGAUUUGGGUUAGAAUUGACGGGAAUGUUGGAGGAAUGAAUGGGCAUGUGCUAGACGAAUGCGAGAAACUUCAAUGGAGAAAAAAGAGAAUUGAGUGUGAGAUCUGCUGUUUUGACAAAAAAGGAGGAAGAAAAGUGGUUUGGGUGUCGGGAUCUCUGCAGGACGACGAUAAGUGUGAAGGAGAUGAUGAAUGCCUAGGUCUUGCAUCUUCUUUUAUUUUUUUUAUUUUUUUAUUUAUUUAUUUAUAAUAUUAUUUAAAGAUAUAUUAGGGUUAUUUAAAAAAAUAUAUUAUGGUUAUUUUGAGAAUAAUGGUGGGCGGGAAAAUAACAUUUUACUUUUUUAAAUUUUUAUAGUGGGUGAGAUUAUUAUGUGGGUAGAAAAAUAGGACACGGGUCUUGUAGCACUCUUCAUAAAUUGUUUUUUUUUUUUUUUGUGAAAAAAAUCAUAAAAUGUUAAGUCUAUACUACUUAUAAAUGAACAGUGUUUGAACCCGAAUUUUACUCUAUUUACGACCAUGCCACUGCUUUUCAGAGUGGCCUAUAUGUUUGGGUCCUAAUUUCAGUUUAAUUACGGUCAUGCCACUGCUUUUCAGAGUGGGCUUUGUGGGUUUGCAUUCAGUGUGGGAUUUGGUAAGGGAAAGGCAUGCGGCUUACAGAGAGGAGGAGAGAUAGAGGGGGAAGGAGAGAGAGAGAGAGAGGGAUUCGGUGAAGGGAAGGCAUACGGCUUACAGAGAGGAGGAUAGAUAGAGGGGGAAGGGGAGAGAGAGAGAGAGAGAGAGAGAGAGAGGGAUUCGGUGAAGGGAAGGCAUGCGGCUUGCAGAGAGGAGGGAGGGAGGGACGAGAAGACGAAAAACAACUGCAGCAAGUUCAUGGACAGGGAGAGAGAAAGCGUUCUGCAGCCCGCUAGCAGUUUUCGUUCAGAUCCAGGUUUGUUUUUUUCCCCUUAAAAUUUAGAUUUUUUUCGCCAUUUUAUGUUUCGUUCAAAUCCGGGUCCGUUUGGUUGCCGAGAAAUUCACUUGAAAAUUUUCUUUUCGUUGGGUUUUAAUUUGUUAUUUGGGGUCGCGUCUGGGAUGAAUUACUUGCCGGCAUUUGAAUUCGGCUUCUGGGAUUGCGAAAUUCUUCGAUUCGAAGUAUUGCUUGUCGGCAUUUCAUAGACCACAUUAUGCAUUAUGUUAGUGAAUCGUGCUGAGAACAUGUCAAUCAUAUUUAGGUUCUGUGCAAGGAAAGGGACAUAUGAAUCCUGCUCUUGAUGAUUCAAUAUGCCAUCAAACAUUACUUAGGCUUCUAAUUUCAUACAGAAAUCGAAAACCCAUUUGGUGAGCCCUUGAGUCAGGGGCUACGCUAGAACAUUUGGAAUGAGAGUGGUCAAAGCGAAUCACGUUUUUGUAUUAUUUUCGAGUUGAAAAAUUAGGUUUUUCUUCAUAAGAAGUUCAAAUUACACUCUAUUGGGUCUGAGACAUGGAAACUCAAUAUCUUUGUGAUAUUACAUUAACAUAGUUAAACUAUAUUUUCUUUUGAUGGGCAUGUCUAAAUUUCUGUAUUUGCGCUGUAGGGAUGUCUUAUCGGGUGAAGUGUUCAAAAUCCUUCUGCUAACUGAUUUAAUAGGUUGAAUUUGUAUCCAAUGUUUUCUUCCAAUAUGGUCUGAACUAUUUUGUUUAAUUAACGAAAACAGGUCACUUCUCUCUAUGGUGGUCCCUUAGAGUUUAUGUUUAUUGUGCAAAGCACAGAAGACCCUGCUUAUCGAGCUGUAUCUAUGCUACUAUCAGAGCUUAAGGUAUACGCAACAAUAAUCAUGGUUUCUUUAAUAUAAGAACAUCCAGGACAAGUCAUAUAUAAUAUAUGCUUGAAAGCACAAGUUUAAUGUAUAACAUUUUUUAGGUUACAUGUGUUCCGAGAAUGAUCUGUUUUACGUUUAACUUCAUUUCCUUGCAGGACGAGGUUGAUGCUAAGAUUGUUGUGGCUGGUAUUUCAACAACCUGUAGUCAGAAAAUUCACAACCAAUUGGUAUGUACCUGAUUAAAAUAAUUUACGCUUUGCUACCAUGCUGGUGCAAUAGCAAGGUCUUGCACAGUUUAAGUGUUAUCUUAUCAAAUCAUUAUGUACCUAUAAUUGUUCUAUAUGACGAGUUUCUUUUCUUUAUGGAAUAGAGAAAUAUAAAUUUAUUACUAAGUCUUAAUGGUGUAGGGUAUAUGUAAAUGAAUUCAAUUAGAACUCACAGUUUUGUUUUCUGUUUUGUAGCUGCCUUGAUCAUUAGUUGGUGAUAUUUGGGAGAUUGGGUCAUCUGGUUGUUUGGAUUUAAGUGGGAUUGAGGUUAUUUUUGCCGCUUUUUGUGAUUUGGGUCUGGGUUCUGGUCAAGUUAUUGCUAUUGAUUCUGGGUCAUCUUCUUCAAAGUUAUUGCUAUAUAUUCCUUCUUCUUUUGGACCCAACAAUCUGUGGGUUUGAUUGCAGCAUAGUGAUUUAGUUUAAAUUUCAACAUUGAUUAUAUAUAUAUAUAGAUAAUCCUAAACACUUCAAAUAAAUCUCAAAUUGAAAAGAACACUUCAAUCUGACUAAAAUUACACAAAGGAAAAAACAAAGACAGAAAGUUGGGCGGUGAAACAUCAACACUAAUUUUAUAGGACGGCAAUAAGGCCGGCGAUGCUGUAUGGCACAGAAUGUUGGGCGGUGAAACAUCAACACGUACACAAAAUGGGUGUAGCGGAGAUGAGGAUGCUUCGUUGGAUGUGUGGGCACACGAGAAAGGAUAAGAUUAGGAAUGAGGAUAUCCGGGGUAAAGUAGGAGUAGCCAAAAUUGAAGGAAAGAUGAGAGAAAAUCGGUUACGGUGGUUUGGACAUGUGCAAAGAAGGCCUACUGACGCUCCGAUUAGAAGAUGCGACUAUGGGACAGAGGUUCAGGGCCGAAGGGGUAGAGGAAGACCUAGGAAAACUUUGGAAGAGACUCUAAGAAAAGACUUAGAGUACUUGGAUCUAACGAAGGACAUGACACAGGAUCGAGCACAAUGGCGUUCUAAGAUUCAUAUAGCCGAUCCCACUCAGUGACUUGGAUUUUCCAAGUCUCCAACCGAGAAGAAGUUUUCCUCACUCGGGAAAUUAAGGGAACACUACCCCAACCUACAUGCUCCACUCAGAAAGCUUCAACAUACAAGCUUCAACAAAAGAAAAUUCAAAGAACUUAGCGAAGAAGGCUUUGGUGUAUUUAACACAAUACGUUGAAAUGAAGGAAAACUUAUUUAUUGAUAUCCCCGAUAAGCUACAAAUAUGUACAUAUGCAUGAGUCAAAAUAAACACACAAGAGGGAGCCUUCACAAAGGUUGCUUAGGAGAAGUCUCAGCAGUCGGUAGAGCCCCAGAAAGAGAAGGCACCGGAGGGGGAUCAUUUGGAGCCUCAGUACUGGACAGAACCCUAGAAGGAGGAGGCAUCAGAGGUUGAUCAUUCGGAGCUUCAUUAUGCGGUACAGCCCCAGAAGACGAAGGCAAUAAAUGCCUUUGGAACAAACCCACAAAUCUCUGAUGAUCAAGUAAAACCUGACCAUCAGUUUCCUUCAUCUGGUCAAGCUUCCUCUUCAUGUUUGUAGCAUAGUCAUGUGCGAGCCGGUGCAACUGUUUUAUUCUCAUGCUUGAGCCCCCUAAUCUCCUGUUUGAGACUCAUCACUUCAGCCGCCAAUGACUUCAACUUGGCGGGUUCGAGCAAAUAGGCGUUGGGCCAUAUUAGACACAGAACCUGCACACUGAACACUGAGAGCCAGCGAAUCCUUAACAGCUAACUCAUCAGACCGUUUGGAAAGUAGUCUGUUAUCUUUGGGAGUGAGAAGGUUCCUGGCCACCACCGCAGCGGUCAUAUCAUUCUUCAUCACGGAAUCCCCAACGGUAAGAGGACCAGUAAGGGGAGACGAAGGAUGGGCGCCAUAUGUUGUCUGGAGAAGGCGGGGCUGCCUCUUCAACAAGGUUCAAGUCAAAAACGACGGUCAGGAGGGGCCAGACAUUUUCAAAGGUGUUGAAGAGAGAAAAGGUCGGACAAAUCAAGAUCUUAGAAGUGCAAGAAUGAAGCUUCUACUGGUGGAGAUUCAAGUGUGCUUUGGAACUUAAUGCCAACCCCUAUAAAAAUCUGCACUCGACGGAGCUUCAGAAAUCGAAGAGGCGCCUGCUCAGAAAUCGAAGAGGCGUUUGCUUUCUCAAAAGUUGGGCUGCUUAGAGAUCACGAGGGUUGAUCUCAGAAAUCGAAGAGGCGUUUGCUUUCUCAAAAGUUGGGCUGCUCAAAGACCACGAAGGCCGAUCUCAGAAAUCGAAGAGGUGCUCGCUUUCUCAAAAGCUGGGCUCCCAGAGACCACGAGGGCCGAUCUCAGAAAUCGAAGAGGCACCUACUUUUUCCAGCCUUGUCAGCACCUGUCACACGCACACUCAGCUUUGCGGAAAUUAUGGGCAUUCUGUCAAAGACUUCUGGGGGAAGUAGAAAACACAUGAAUCUUACUGUUCAAUCACCCACUUCCCACACGCAACAAUAGCUCACGGGUACCACAGAUAACUUUGCCAAAGUUCUCUGCCAAAGUUGAGCACGUGAAGCUUGCAGCUCCCACUACAUCGCUCUGACCAAGAAGGGUAAAAGAAUAGCAAAGAAACAACACUAACAAAGUUUAGACCCAUAAAUUUUGAAGGUCUAGCUACCAUAUACAUAUUAUUACCCACAAGGGUAAAGGAACAGUACCACUGCUGGAUAAUUGGAAAGUCCCUGUGUGUCAACCUCUGUGCUUCGUGGCAAGGUAGACUAGCAAACAUGCCCAACCUUUACUCACAUUCGAGAAAACACUCCCAAUAAGAUUGCUUGCUCCAAAAUCGAAGAGGCAUCGUCCUCCAAAUCUCGAGAGCCAGACUCCCAACAUGACUACUUUCUUAAAAAUCGAAGAGAGGGUAAAGGAACAGUACCAUUGCUGGAUAAUUGGAAAGUCCCUGUGUGUCAACCUCUGUGCUUCGUGGCAAGGUAGACUAGCAAACAUGCCCAACCUUUACUCACAUUCGAGAAAACACUCCCAACAAGAUUGCUUGCUCCAAAAUCGAAGAGGCACCGCCCUCCGAAUCUCGAGAGCCAGACUCCCAACAUGAUUACUUUCUCAAAAAUCGAAGAGACACUGCUUCCCGAAUCUUCGAGAGCCAGACCCCCAGCAUGAUUGCUUUCUCAAAAAUCGAUGAGGCAUCGUUCUCCGAAUCAAUCGAAGAGGCGCUCGCUUUCUCAAAAGCUGGGCUGCUCAGAGACCACGAGGGCCGAUCUCAGAAAUCGAAGAGGCACCUACUUUUCUAGCCUUGUCAGCACCUGUCACACGCAACAAUAGCUCAUGGGUACCACAGAUAACUUUGCCAAAGUUCUCUGCCAAAGUUGAGCACGUGAAGCUUGCAGCUCCCACUACAUCGCUCUGACCAAGAAAGGUAAAAGAAUAGCAAAGAAACAGCACUAACAAAGUUUAGACACAUAAAUUUUGAAGGUCUAGCUACCAUAUUAUUACCCAUAAGGGUAAAGGAACAGUACCACUGCUGGAUAAUUGGAAAGUCCCUGUGUGUCAACCUCUGUGCUUCGUGGCAAGGUAGACUAGCAAACGUGCCCAACCUUUACUCACAUUCGAGAAAACACUCCCAAUAAGAUUGCUUGCUCCAAAAUCGAAGAGGCACCGUCCUCCGAAUCUCGAGAGCCAGACUCCCAACAUGACUACUUUCUCAAAAGCGAAGAGAGGGUAAAGGAACAGUACCAUUGCUGGAUAAUUGGAAAGUCCCUGUGUGUGUGUCAACCUUUGUGCUUCGUGGCAAGGUAGACUAGCAAACAUGCCCAACCUUUACUCACAUUCGAGACAACACUCCCAACAGGAUUGCUUGCUCCAAAAUCGAAGAGGCACCGCCCUCCGAAUCUCAAGAGCCAGACUCCUAACAUGAUUACUUCCUCAAAAAUCGAAGAGACACUGCUCUCCGAAUUUCGAGAGCCAGACCCCCAGCAUGAUUGCUUUCUCAAAAAUCGAAGAGGCAUCGUUUUCCGAAUCUCGAGAGCCAGAUACCACAGACCACUUUUUCAAAGUGCUCUGACAGAGUUAAAACAUGUGAAACUGGCAGCUCCCACUACCGUGCUAUGACCAAGCAGGGUAAAGGAAUAGCAUUACUACUUGUUGUUAGGGAGACUCCUAUAUAUGUCGACCUCCAUCCUCAACGGACAGGCAGACCUGCAAAAAUGCUCAACCCUUCAUCAUAUCUAAGAGGGCACUCCCAACGAAGCCUUUCGAAAUAUUCAGCUUUCUUUCCCCCCGAUAAUACCUCUGCAAACAAGCUAUACUAGAGCAAGAAUAUCUCAUAUCAUCAGGGUUAAAAGCAAGAGUAUCCCAUAUCAUGCUUUUUCCCUGUCUUUUCCUUUGGCCUUGUUUUUACCUGCAAGACAAGGAGAAAGAGAGCAAUCAGUCAGCACUUGGAAUCAAGCUUCCAGCCAGGAACUGACUGCCUGGAACCCCUUACCUGAUUACUUACCUGGCAUUGCUCUCGAGAGUACUCAUCUUCAACAUGUUAUGUUUCCAGGGAAGAUUACGCAUCUGCUUGAGGAACAGAUAGGGCAAGUGCGAAGGAUACAAGGAAGCAUGUGGAGACAAGCGUAACAGCACACGUGCCGAUACAUCCAUUACUCUGUCAAAAGCAAAAGUAUCCCAUAUCAGCAGGGUGGAACGUACUCUAGAUUUGAUGGACUUGUUUUGACCCUCAAAUUCUUCAGUCGGCCUUAUACUCUGGAGGAAACCAGAAAACCCUCCAGCUCAGUUCAAGAAUAAGCCUGUGGAAAGUUACUUCUUCAAAAGCAAAAGUAUCUCAUAUCAUCUCUUCUCAUUUUUCUUCUCUUUAUCCUUCAUGCUGCUGCAAGAUGGGGAGAAGGUGAACAAUCAGUCGGAGCUCUGAUUGCUUACCUUGUCUGUCACCUCUUUCAGCAGACCCCCUAGCUCGGCGACUUGGGGGACUCCUACUACAUGGUUUGUAUCGCGCUUGACCAAGCCUGAAACUACAAGUAAGCUUCAAGUGAAAUUGAUACAUUACCUUGUGCAUCUCUACCAGUUAAAGAUACCACCCCUGGAUGGAGGAAGAGUACUUCCAGAGAAGAUGCCACAUCUACCUAUGAGACAGAUAAGGCAAGUUAAGACGACACCACACUCCGAUACUUAGAAGUUUCGUGAUUACGAGAUCAUUCUCCCACAAUAUUUCCUAAUGUCAUUUGUACUAAAUCAUUCACUUGUACUCACUAAAGGAGAGCUUGAACCUAUGUACUUGUGUAAACCCUUCACAAUUAAUGAGAACUCUUCUAUUCCGUGGACGUAGCCAAUCUGGGUGAACCACGUACAUCUUGUGUUUGCUUUCCUAUCUCUAUCCAUUUAUAUACUUAUCCACACUAAUGACCGGAGCAAUCUAGCGAAGAUCACAAAAAGCGACCGUUUUCGCUACCUAGGAUCUAUCUUGCAAGAGAACGGAGAAUUAGAUGGAGAUCUCAACCAUAGAAUACGAGCUGGAUGGAUGAAGUGUAAGAGUGCAUCCGGCGUGUUGUGUGACCGUCGUAGGCCACUGAAGCUCAAGAGAAAAUUUUAUAGGACGACAAUAAGGCCAGCGAUGUUUUAUGGCACAUAAUGUUGGGCGGUGAAGCAUCAACACGUACACAAAAUAGGUGUAGCGGAGAUGAGGAUGCUUCGUGGGAUGUGUGGGCACACGAUAAAGGAUAAGAUUGGGAAUGAGGAUAUCCGAGGUAAAGUAGGAGUAGCCGAAAUUGUAGGAAAGAUGAGAGAAAAUCGGCUCCGGUGAUUUGGACAUGUGCAAAGAAGGCCGACUGACGCUCUGGUUCGAAGAUGUGACUACGGGACAGAGGUUCAGGGCCGAAGGGGUAGAGGAAGACCUAGGAAAACUUUGGAAGAGACUCUAAGAAAAGAUUUAGAGUACUUGGAUCUAACGGAGGACAUGACACAAAACCGAGCGCAAUGGCGUUCUAGGAUUCAUAUAGCCGACCCCACUUAGUGGGAAAAGGCUUUGUUGUUGUUGUUGUUGUUGUUGUUGUUUAGGAUUAUCUACAUAUAUAUAAUCAAUGUUGAAAUUUUAAACUAAAUCACUAUGCUGCAAUCAAACCCACAGAUUGUUAGGUCCAAAAGAAGAAGAAGAAGAAGGAGUGAACAACAUGAAAUUGGCUUUGGGUAAGCUUCCACUCUCUUCUGUGUAUGAUCUCUUUGAGAAGUGAUUUUGGUUUGUGCUUUCAAAAAAGAUGAUGGCAAUUUCAUAUUUGGACAGAGAAAACAAUAGGCAUGUAUGAUGAAGUGGAAUUUUUCGUGGUAUUAUCAACAUGCAUGUUAUAAAGAAUUCUUCAUUUAGUUUUUUGGGUUGUGUGUUUUGUGCUGUUUCAUUCGUGACUUGUGUGUUUUGUUGUAUCUGAUUCAAGUAUACGUCAUUGAAGAAUGUUAAUGAAUCCAAACAUUGGUUUUGGGGUGUUCUUGCUAGAAAAGCCAAAGACAUUCUCGACGAUGAUGAUAAUGGAGUUCAGGAUUAUGAUUCACCCGAACAACAAGGACGGAUAUGCUGUCUUUGCCAACAAGGGGAUAAGGUGAGAUAUAGUUUUCGUCAUGUCUUUAUAGUAGCUUGGCAUUUUCCAAGGACUUUUAAUUGCUGCUGCAUUGUUGAAUACAUUAAGAAUGAUCCUGUAAACCAGAGAGGGAGUCAUCAGCUUAUGGAUCUGUUAACACAUCCAAUGUGUUGUAAUCUUUUCGCUACUUAAACAUGUUAAGACAUGAAUUCUAAUAAAAACUUUGGUCUGCUACUUUACUUAUGGUGCUGUUGGUUUACUCCAACGAUAAUACCUAGCUAGGAUAGCCUUUUCUUUAUGUCUUAAUUAUUGAUAGUGCUAUCAUCAUGGCAGGCUAUGUUGGGGCAAAAACUGUACAGGCAAAGACAUAAGAGUGAUGGAUUUUGGAAUGAAAUGCAGAGGAUAUCAUUUUGUGCUGCUUAAGUAAAAGUUUCCUCUUCUGUUAUAUUUGUGUGUUGGAUAUUGUAGAAAAUUAAUAUAAUUAAUAUAAGUUGUAUAUUCAUGAUAACUGACUGAUUAAGAUUACUUACAAGGGGUAUAUAUGCACAGGAGAGCUCAGCAUGAGGGUGCUGUUGGUUUACCUUGCCUGGAUGUGUUGCAGUGCAGGGUUGUUCAAGAAAAAAGGUUUUAAAGGAUCCUUUGCAGAUGCAAGAUCUUCUGCUAAAUGAUAACAUUGCAAUCCGAGUGUAAUUAGUUUAGUUUUUUCUAGUUUUUUUUUUGUGAAAUGUUAUUUACAAUGUCAGAAUGUUUCUUGGAAUUCAGUUGUCAAGGUUUCUUUUUAUAUUUUCCCCUUUUUAGACAUUUGCAGUUUUGUCCGGAGUGUGUGAGCUGUUGCUUCAGCCAAAACAGGUGCUCUCUCCAGUUUUUCAUUUCUUCCAUACUCAAACCCUAGCCGCUCCACCUGAAUCUCCCACACAUAAGCAAACUCCAUCUGAAAGCCGAAGAAUCCAAAGGUAAAUCCCUUCGAACUCUUUGAUUAUCAACCAGAUUUCAGAAUGUUUUUGGGAUAUACACUGCUAUUUCAUAUAGUGUUAGUUCAAUAGUUUAGUCCUAAGACCUAGCUCAUGAGACAUCAGAAUUUCGAUUGAUUUAGCUUUUGUCCUAUGCCUUUUUUGUAGGCACAACAGGGAUUGUAGACUACACAAACUUAGAAGAUAUGAAGUGUGCGGUAAGUCCUUUUACUUUCUCACUCCAGAGUCCAUACAUUCAUAUUUUCUGUAACCUUCUAUGGAGCAUGGGUACUAGGUUGUUGAAUAUUGCUUUUUCAAUAUGUCGAUGUGUCUGAAGCGUCUAUAAGAAUCUCAAACUUCAUAAAUAAUUUCCAUGCAGAUCAAAAAGCUUGAUGGCUCUGAGUUCCGAAAUGCUUUUGACCGCCAAUCUGUUCGCGUAUGAAUCUUACAAGUUGAAAAUUUAUUUUCUCUCCUCCUGUAUUUUUGUUUAUCUUUUGCUCUGUUGGGUUUUUUUUUUUCCAACAACUCAAAGGGCCGAAAGGUAUUCUCUUUUCAUAUUCUUCUCUCCCAAUUUCUUUAGGGUUAAUUUCAAUUUUCUUAUGCUAUUUGCAUUGGUGCUUUUUAGAGUUUAACUAUUUGAUUUCACAGAUUCAUUUCAAACACAGUAAAUAGUUACAUUUUAAAUUCGUAUUUCAUAACUUGGUUGCUCGAUUCUAAUGUCGAUUCGUUACAACAGAAGUGAACAUUUUCUUUCAAUAAUUUAAUCUGAUGUAACUCUGUUUUUGUUCUCUCAUGUCUAGGUUGGUCAAGGACAUGGGGAUAAGAGCACUUUGGAAAUGGGUACGAAAGGAAAUAAACUUGCUGAACUGCAUUGGCAUCUAUUGUUCUGGUUUUUCUUUGACAAGUUAACUUGCUCUCUCUUUGCAGUACGGUGCACAAAUAUGGAAAAAGCACGACAGGGGAAAGCUGGGAUAUUGUUGUGGAUGAGGAGACCUAUUACGAGUGAGUCUGGACUUGGUUCUGGUUCUGUCUACAUAUAGUAUGUUGAAGCAGUCAAAAGGAUUUCAGGGGCUAUAAGGGAUGGCUGUAGAGGCCACCCGCUCGAUAUUGCCUUGUUCGGUUGUUCAUCCAGAUACAAAUUCUUGUUUAGCUCAGAAUGCACGGGCUACAUCAGCUACAUUUAGGAAAACAUUUCCGCUUUACUUUUCUUUGAUGUUUGUACCAUUCGUUGUUUUCAGCCUACAGAAGGUAAAUUCUUCAAACUCAGCCUUUUCUUCUCAUUUUUUACUAGGAUAAUGCUUCUUUAACAAUUAUUUUCUGAAAUGGUGCGUUUACCUAUUAGUUCUGCCGACCACGAUAUUGGAUUUAUUGCCAUGAAUGCACAUUUGCCUUCAGAAGGCAAUUCGAUCUAACUUUUUCACUUCCCUUGAGUUAAGAUCUAACUUUUUCACUCUAACGGAAUGUUCUGUGCAGACUGGGGGUUAUUACAUAGCAUUUUUACUCACUUCAAGAGAUCUGUUUUACUUUCCGAUCAGUUUGAGUGAAUAAAUUCCUUGUGAACUUGGAAAUCUCUCAAGUCUAAGUGUUUUGCACCUCGGUUGAUAUGAGUUUUGUAGAUACUAGAAGAGCAAAUGAUUGUUAAGAGUAGUGGAUUAAAUCAUUUACGUGUUUGAUAUGCCUAGCUAGCUACGAGGGUCUUCAGUCUUAGCUUCGACUUGUACGAAGGACCGUUCCCAGUUCCUGGUGGGGUUGUGAAUAUGACUGGUCUUAAAGUCCUUAUUAUCUUUGAGCAAGAAAAAUCAAAGCUUUAAUUAUUCUGCAUGACUUUUCAUGCAUUCACCAUCGUAUGGAAUAUAUCACAGUUUUUGGCCAAAUUUUCCACAUAAAAUUUAAUCCUCUCAACUUCCUAACAUUAUCAAACAUUCAAUGACAGUCGGACUGUCUCAUUCAAUGACAGUCUGAUCUGGAGAUAAAGUUGACAAGUAUUAUUAUACGGCAACUUGAUGAUGUUGCUGGUGAUGUAUCUGGAUUGGCCGUGAAAUGGUAUGGAAUUUGUUUAUGAUUUUGCCAAUUACACAAACUGAGUCGUUUUUGCUGUUAUCUGUUGGAGUUUUAUGAGUUGUGUCUGGUGUGCCUUGCCAUGAAUAGUGAAGGAUCAUUGACUCUCUACUUCUUAGCAGUAGCUGGAUAGUCUUUCAUAUACAAUUGGAUCAUGAUAAUGUUUUGAGGCAUUUCAAAUUAUUCCACAUGUAAAUAGUUUUGAAUUCAGAGUUUAGUCUUUCGAUUUCAAGCUGCCAUAUGAUCUUUGAAUAGUUCAAGCAUUUUUGUUGUCAUUCUAAUUCUCUGAAGGUAAAUAGAAAAAUUGUAUGUAAAUCGAACAAUGAUUCAUAAUCUUUUGCAUGUUGGUACUAUUGUUGAUCCAAAGCCACAAGAACUUUGUUGGUCUAAUCUUUUUUGCAUGUAAAUAGAAGUCUGAUCUUUUUUGUGUAUACAAGUAACAGUAUCAUUUAAACGCUUUUAAAUCCCGCAGCAUCGCAUGGGCAAUUUUUGCUAGUUAUAACCAAAUGUAUGAAAUUGAAAUGUCAUAGAAGUGUUGUACGAGGUUACAAUUUGAGAGAUUUUUCAUUGUGAUCGGAACACGGGAUGAUAUACCACGUGUCAUUAUAUAAAUGGUAGAAUAUGUGUUAAAAAAUAAAAUUUUCAUCACUUGUAUAAAAACACGUGGUGUACCACUCAUGUUUCGAUCACACUGAAAAAUUUGUCGUUACAAUUGUACCAAAAUUUAAAGAAGUAAAUUGUAUUUUACCCUUCUUACUUUCACUUGCUCAUUUACUUGUUCGACGCCCGGCUUAGGUGGGAGUAUUAUAUCCCAGUAAAAAUAUCACAUCCAUAAAAAAAAUUAAAUUUUUCAUCUAUAUUAAUACAAUGUAUUUGAAGGACCGACGAUUCCCAAUUCCAAGUGGGGUCUCCCUUGAUCUUUCUGGAAACUUUUUUAAUUCUUUGAUGCCGAGGUGGGUUUUCAGUCUUAAAAAUCUAGUUUCUCUUCGUCUCAGUGAUUGUUGGUUCCAAGGUCCAAUUCCUAGCAUUUCACAGAAUAUCACAUCUUUGAGGGAAAUUGAUUUGUCAGGCAAUUCUGUUAGUCUUGAUCCGAUUCCCAAAUGGCUGUUUAACCAAAAAGACCUUGCCUUGAGUCUAGAAUCUAAUAACCUCACAGGACAACUUCCUAGCAGUAUUCAGAAUAUGACUGGUCUUACAGCUCUUGAUCUCAGUUUCAACGACUUCAAUUCUACCAUACCUGAAUGGUUGUAUAGCUUGACCAAUCUCGAGUCCUUACUUCUUUCUUCCAGUGUCUUGCAUGGUGAAAUAUCGAGUUCCAUUGGAAACAUGACAUCCCUUGUCAAUCUUCACUUGGAUGGUAAUCAGUUGGAAGGGAAAAUCCCAAAUUCUUUGGGACAUCUUUGUAAGUUGAAAGUUCUUGAUCUGUCAGAGAACCAUUUCAUGGUUCGAAGACCAUCCGAAAUCUUUGAAAGUUUGUCCAGAUGUGGUCCAGAUGGAAUAAAGUCAUUGUCGUUGAGGUAUACUAAUAUAUCAGGUCACAUUCCAAUGUCACUAGGAAAUCUGUCAAGCUUAGAAAAAUUGGACAUAUCUUUAAAUCAGUUUAAUGGAACUUUCACAGAAGUUAUUGGUCAGCUCAAAAUGCUAACGGAUUUGGAUAUAUCUUAUAAUUCGUUAGAAGGUGUGGUGUCGGAAGUGUCUUUUAGCAACCUUACAAAGUUGAAGCAUUUCAUUGCAAAAGGAAACUCAUUUACUCUGAAAACUAGUCGAGAUUGGGUUCCUCCUUUUCAACUUGAAAUUUUGCAGCUGGAUUCCUGGCAUUUGGGGCCUGAAUGGCCAAUGUGGUUGCGGACACAAACGCAAUUAAAAGAACUAAGCUUGUCUGGUACAGGAAUUUCAAGUACUAUUCCAACUUGGUUUUGGAACUUAACUUUCCAAUUAGAUUAUCUGAAUCUCUCUCACAAUCAGUUGUAUGGGCAGAUUCAAAAUAUAUUUGGUGCUUAUGAUUCAACGGUUGAUCUUAGUUCUAACCAAUUCACUGGUGCAUUGCCUAUUGUUCCCACCUCAUUAUAUUGGCUAGAUCUUUCCAAUUCAUCAUUUUCUGGAUCUGUUUUCCACUUCUUCUGUGAUAGGCCGGAUGAACCAAAGCAACUUUAUAUUCUUCAUCUCGGGAACAAUUUGCUCACUGGAAAAGUACCCGAUUGUUGGAUGAGUUGGCAAUCCUUGAGAUUCCUAAAUUUAGAAAACAACAUCCUAACUGGGAAUGUCCCAAUGUCCAUGGGAUACUUAGUUUGGCUGGGAUCCCUGCACUUGCGCAAUAAUCACCUGUACGGAGAAUUGCCACAUUCCCUACAGAAUACCUCGUUGUCAGUUCUUGACCUUAGUGGAAAUGGGUUUUCCGGAAGCAUACCAAUAUGGAUAGGGAAAAGCCUUUCAGAGUUGCAUGUUCUUAUCCUUCGUUCAAAUAAGUUUGAAGGAGAUAUUCCUAAUGAAGUUUGUUAUUUGACAAGUCUCCAGAUAUUGGACCUUGCACAUAACAAACUCUCAGGAAUGAUACCGAGAUGCUUCCACAAUUUGAGCGCCUUGGCUGAUUUUCACAAAUAUUUUCUACAACUAGUUUUUGGGGUGUGGAAGAGGAUGGACUUACAGAGAAUGCAAUCUUGGUAACGAAAGGGAUAGAAAUGGAAUAUACCAAGAUUCUGGGAUUCGUAAAAGGCAUGGAUCUUUCAUGCAACUUUAUGUAUGGAGAGAUCCCUGAAGAACUUACCGGCCUCCUCGCAUUGCAGUCACUCAAUUUAUCGAAUAAUCACUUCACCGGAGGAAUUCCUUCAAAGAUUGGUAGUAUGGCACAGUUAGAAUCUCUCGAUUUUUCCAUGAACCAACUUGAUGGUGAAAUUCCUCCAAGCAUGACGAAAUUGACAUUUCUGAGUCACUUAAACUUGUCCUACAACAAUUUGACGGGACGAAUUCCGGAAAGCACUCAACUGCAGAGCCUUGAUCAGUCGAGCUUCGUCGGCAACGAACUAUGCGGAGCUCCACUCAACAAGAAUUGCAGCACGAAUGGGGUGAUACCGCCACCAACAGUUGAGCAAGACGGAGGAGGAGGAUACCGUUUACUCGAAGACGAGUGGUUCUACGUGAGCUUGGGAGUUGGAUUCUUCACGGGGUUUUGGAUUGUGCUUGGUUCUUUGCUGGUAAACAUGCCAUGGAGCAUUCUUCUUUCACAGUUGCUGAAUAGGAUAGUGCUUAAAAUGUAUCAUGUAAUUGUUGAAUAUGUUUAGCUUUGUUUUGUACUUUGCGUAAGUUUGUUGGCAUUUUCCUUGCUGCGACGAAUAUGCCAGUAUGGUUGUGUUGUAUGAUUUUGUUAAAUUUCGUCCUCUUGUUUUAUUGUAUUUUUCUUUCAUGUUUGGCUUUAGGGGGUUAGGUUUCAUGUCCCCCCCUCCCUUGUAUCAUUUUUGUUUUCGUUUCUAGAGGGGUAAGGUUUAUGUCCCCCCUUCUUACUCAAUGUUGUUUUUCUCUCUUUCUUGGCAUUACGAGGGGUAAGGUUUAUGUUCUCCCCUGACUAGAUGUAACUUAUUUUUUUCGUUAUCAAUAAAAUAUCCCUCGUACCAUCGAGGUUUUCUUAAGAAUAAAAAAUAGAAAAAAUUAUCUCAUAUAAAAUUAAAAGACUUGUUUUCUGACCAAGUAGUUCUUAAUUCAGCAAAAGUCAAUUGAAUGACAAGAGAAAUGUGUGAAAAUGGUUUAGGAAUUAGUUACCUAUUAAUUAAUUAUCAGCAAACUCACAUUAUUCACAUUAUUUCGUGGUUGUAUUUUUAAUGAUUUUUUAUUUACAAUUUUACACUUGGAUCUUUCUCAAAAAACUAAAACAACGCUUCUCUCGAGUUCGAAUCCCAAAACCAAAAUUCAACCAGUAUAUAUGUCCCAAGACGCAAAAGGACCAAUUGGCAAUUAAAUAAAAUGCUUUCGAAUAAGAUGACAGAAUAAAUGAACGAAUUUUCAGUGUGAUCGUCACACAAAGUGCUACACCACGUGUCGCUAUAUAAAUGGUGUGAUAUGUGUGUUAAAAAAUUAAUAACUUAAAAAAUAAAAUUUUCCUCUACUUACAUAAAAACAUGUGAUGUACCGUAUUGCCCCUCAAAAUUAAAAAUUUCUCCAUGAACUCAACCACCUACACAACCCCGGCCACUCCACCAAUGACUCUAAUUUACUCAGUUUUAAUUUGCUAAAGACUUAAUUUAUUUAUUUAUUAACGGGUAAUUAAAGAAAAUCUAGUUGUGAAGUGCUAGUAGUUUGUAUUGACCAGUAUCGACGGAUAAGAAGGGUAGUAUGGUCAAAAAGGUGGUGCUGAAGUAAGGCAGUUAGUAUAUUUGGAAGUUAGUUAGAAUUGGCGGUAAAAUUAGUUAGAGCUGUUAGUACUACUAGCUUAAGAGAUGGGGCAGUUAGUAUUCAUUCGAAAAAAAAUAUACAGAAACUCAUAACCUCUGCUCUCUCUGCAAUUCUCUUUCUUUCUCUCUAAGUUUUCUGCUUUUCUUCAAUUCUCUGUGCACUGUUAUCAUGGUAUCAGAGCCGGCCGAUCCUUGGUUUCAAUUCCGCUGUGCAAGUCUUCUUGAUUGAUUGAAGCUCGAUGGUAGCUACAAGGUCUCAGGGUUUCUGCUCAAAGAUUCAAGAUUUUCAUUCGUAUCAGGUUCUUUGUUUGUGAUUUCACAGUGCACACCAUCUGUUUGCGUUAUGUUCUAGUUGGAGAGUGUUGUUAUUUUUCUGAAAGAUUGAAGGCCCAUAACCAUUGUUAGAAAAUUGAAAGGCCGAUAGCCAUUGUUUGAGAGCAUAAGAGGCCGAUAGCCAUUGUUUGAUCAAGAUUUUUUGGUAUUCAUUCAGUUGUUUCAUUGAAAAAGGCCGAUAGCCAGUAGGGAAGAAUCUGUGAUAGUGUAUUUGGGGUUCAAGAACAAGUCUUGUUUGUCUGCAAUAUAAAUUUCUGGAUUAAUAUUCUCUGUAACCUUGUUCAAAUGGCGGAAUCUAUUGUUAAAAUUGAAGGGUUACUUGGUAUGCUUACAGUGAAACUUCAAGAUGAUAAUUUUCAUUAAUUGGUUUAAUUUUUGUUCAUUUUAAAUUACGCAUAGUAGUGUUGGAUUCACAAACUCUUUAAUUCUCCACUUUCAAUCGAAUAAACGAGUGUGGUAUGUAUUUCAAACAAACAAGAUUGAACAUCUAAUUAUUUCAGAUAAAAUGCACCAAACACUCAUCUUCUUCUGGCAAGCAAGAAAAACUAGUUUUGCCAUGCGGCAUGUUUGAAUUGCGCGACAUAAACCAAAUUUCCAAUCACAAAUUUGGUGAUAAAUAUAAUAAUUUCAAUAAGUGAAAAACUCAAAUAGGUUACAUAAUUUGAUUUUUUUUUUAAGGGGUUCAACAAAAGAAAAUUCAAAGAACUUAGCGAAGAAGGCUUUGGUGAUUUAACACAAUACGUUGAAAUGAAGGAAAGCUUAUUUAUUGAUAUCCCCGAUAAAUUACAAGUAUGUACAUAUACUUGAGUCAAAAUAAACAAACAAGAGGGAGCCUUCACAAAGGUUGCUUAGGAGAAGUCUCGGCAGUCGGUAGAGCCCCAGAAAGAGAAGGCACCGGAGGGGGAUCAUUCGGAGCCUCAGUAUUGGACAGAACCCUAGAAGGAGGAGGCAUCAGAGGUUGAUCAUUUGGAGCUUCAUUACGCGGUACAGCCCCAGAAGACGAAGGCAAUAAAUGCCUUUGGAACAAACCCACAAAUCUCUGAUGAUCAAGUAAAACCUGACCAUCAGAUUCCUUCAUCUGGUCAAGCUUCAUUUUCAUGUUUGUAGCAUAGUCAUGUGCGAGCCGGUGCAACUGUUUAUUCUCAUGCUUGAGCCCUCUAAUCUCCUGUUUGAGACUCAUCACUUCAGCCGCCAAUGAUUCAACUUGGCGGGUUCGAGCAAAUAGGCGUUGGGGCCAUAUUAGACACAGAACCUGCACACUGAACACUAAGAGCCAGAGAAUCCUUAACAGCCAACUCAUCAGACCGUUUUGGAAAGUAGUCUGUUAUCUUUUGGGAGUGAGAAGGUUCCUGGCCACUACCGCAGCGGCCAUAUCAUUCUUCAUCACGGAAUCCCCAACGGUAAGAGGACCAGUAGGGGAGACGAAGGAUGGGCGCCAUAUGUUGUCUGGAGAAGGCGGGGCUGCCUCUUCAACAAGGUUCAAGUCAAAACGACGGUCGGAGGGGCCAGACAUUUUCAAAGGUGUAGAAGAGAGAAGAGGUCGGACAAAUCAAGAUCUUAGAAGUGCAAGAAUGGAGCUUCUACUGGUGGAUAUUCAAGUGUGCUUUGGAACUUAAUGUCAGCCUCUAUAAAAAUCUGCACUCGACGAAGCUUCAGAAAUCGAAGAGGCGUUUGCUUUCUCAAAAGCUGGGCUGCUCAGAGACCACGAGGGUCGAUCUCAGAAAUCGAAGAGGCGUUUGCUUUCUCAAAAGCUGGGCUGCUCAAAGACCACGAAGGCCGAUCUCAGAAAUCGAAGAGGUUUGCUUUCUCAAAAGCUGGGCUGCUCAGAGACCACGAGGGCCGAUCUCAGAAAUCGAAGAGGUUUGCUUUCUCAAAAGCUGGGCUGCUCAGAGAGGGCCGAUCUCAGAAAUCGAAGAGGCACCUACUUUUCCAGCCUUGUCAGCACCUGUCACACGCACACUCAGCUUUGCGGAAAUUAUGGGCAUUCUGUCGAGAUUUCUGGCGAAGUAGAAAGCACAUGAAUCGUACUGUUCAAUCACCCACUUCCCACACGCAACAGUAGCUCAUGGGUACCACAUAUAACUUUGCCAAAGUUCUCUGACAAAGUCGAGACACGUGAAGCUUGCAACUCUCACUACAACGCUCUGACCAAGAAGGGUAAAAGAAUAGCAAAGAAACAACACUAACAAAGUUUAGACACAUAAAUUUUGAAGGCCUAGCUACCAUAUUAUUACCCACAAGGGUAAAGGAACAGUACCACUGCUGGAUAAUUGGAAAGUCCCGGUGUGUCAACCUCUGUGCUUCAUGGCAAGGUAGACUAGCAAACAUGCCCAACCUUUACUCACAUUCGAGAAAACACUCCCAACAAGAUUGCUUGCCCCAAAAUCGAAGAGGCAUCGCCCUCCGAAUCUCGAGAGCCAGACUCCCAACAUGAUUACUUUCUCAAAAAUCGAAGAGAGGGUAAAGGAACAGUACCACUGCUGGAUAAUUUGAAAGUCCCUGUGUGUCAACCUCUGUGCUUCGUGGCAAGGUAGACUAGCAAACAUGCCCAACCUUUACUCACAUUCGAGAAAACUCCCCAAACAAGAUUGCUUGCUCCAAAAUCGAAGAGGCACCGCCCUCCGAAUCUCGAGAGCCAGACUUCUAACAUGAUUACUUUCUUAAAAAUCGAAGAGAGGGUAAAGGAACAGUACCACUGCUGGAUAAUUGGAAAGUCCCUGUGUGUCAACCUCUGUGCUUCGUGGCAAGGUAGACUAGCAAACAUGCCCAACCUUUACUCAUAUUCGAGAAAACACUCCCAACAAGAUUGCUUGCUCCAAAAUCGAAGAGGCACCGCCCUCCGAAUCUCGAGAGCCAGACUCCCAACAUGAUUACUUUCUCAAAAAUCGAAGACACCGUUCUCCGAAUUUCGAGAGCCAGACCCCCAGCAUGAUUGCUUUCUCAAAAAUCGAAGAGGCAUCGUUCUCCGAAUCUCGAGAGCCAGAUCCCCGACAGGAUUGCUUGUUCGAUUACCGAAGAGGCACCACUUUCCCAACUUCAAGAGCCGGAUCUCCUUGGAUAAAGCUUGUCUGUAAUCUUCACACGCAACAUCAGCUUUCCAGAUACCACAGACCACUUUUUCAAAGUGCUCUGACAGAGUUAAAACUUGUGAAGCUGGCAGCUCCCUCACGUGUACCGUGCUGACCAAGGGUAAAGGAAUAGCAUAGCAUUACUUGAUGAUUAGGGAGACUCCUAUAUAUGUCGACCUCCAUCCCCAACGGACAGGCAGACCUGCAAAAAUGCUCAACCCUUCCUCUUAUCUAAGAGGGCACUCCCAACGAAGCCUUUCGAAAUAUUCAGCUUUCUUUCCCCCCGAUAAUACCUCUGUAAACAAGCUAUAUUACUAGAGCAAGAAUAUCUCAUAUCAUCAGGGUUAAAAAGCAAGAGUAUCCCAUAUCAUGCUUUUUCCCUGUCUUUUCCUUUGGCCUUGUUCUUACCUGCUGCAAGACAAGGAGAAAGAGAGCAAUCAGUCAGCACUUGGAAUCAAGCUUCCAGCCAGGAACUGACUGCCUGGAACCCCUUACCCUGGCAUUGCUCUCGAGUACUCAUCUUCAACAUCUUAUGCUUCCAGGGAAGAUACCGCAUCUGCCUGAGGAACAGAUAGGGCAACUGAGAAGGAUACAAGGAAGCAUGUGGAGACAAGCGUAACAGCACACGUGCCGAUACAUCCACUACUCUGUCAAAAGCAAAAAGUAUCCCAUAUCAGCAGGGUCGAACGUACUCUAGAUUUGAUGGACUUGUUUUGACCCUCAAAUUCUUCAGUCGGCCUUAUACUUUGGAGGAAACCAGAAAACCCUCCAGCCCAGUUCAAGAAUAAGCCUGUGGAAAGUUACUUCUUCAAAAAGCAAAAGUAUCCCCAUAUCAUCUCUUCUCAUUUUUCUUCUCUUUAUCCUUCAUGCUGCCUGCAAGAUAGGGAGAAUGUGAACAAUCAGCCGGAGCUCUGAUUGCUUUACCUUGUCUGUUACCUCUUUCAGCAGAUCCCCUAGCUCGGCGACUUGGGGGACUCCUACUACAUGGUUUGUAUCGCGCUUGACCAAGCCUGAAACUACAAGUAAGCUUCAAGUGACAUUGAUACAUUACCUUGUGCAUCUUCCACCAGUUACAGAUACCACCCCUGGAUGGAGGAAGAGUACUUCCAGAGAAGAUUCCACAUCUACCUAUGAGACAGAUAAGGAAAGUCAAGACGAUACCACACUCCGGGUACUUAGAAGUUUCGUGGUUACGAGAUCAUUCUCCCACAAUAUUUCCUAAUGUCAUUUGUACUAAAUCAUUCACUUGUACUCCCUAAAGGAGAGCUUGAACCUAUGUACUUGUGUAAACCCUUCACAAAUUAAUGAGAACUCCUUUAUUCCGUGGACGUAGCCAAUCUGGGUGAACCACGUACAUCUUGUGUUUGCUUUCCUAUCUCUAUCCAUUUAUAUACUUAUCCACACUAAUGACCGGAGCAAUCUAGCGAAGAUCACAAAAAGUGACCGUUUUCGCUACCUAGGAUCUAUCUUGCAAGAGAACGGAGAAUUAGAUGGAGAUCUCAACCAUAGAAUACAAGCUGGAUGGAUGAAGUGUAAGAGUGUAUCCGGCGUGUUGUGUGAUCGUCGUAGGCCACUGAAGCUCAAGGGAAAUUUUAUAGGACGGCAAUAAGGCCAACGAUGUUGUAUGGCACAGAAUGUUGGGCGGUGAAGCAUCAACACGUACACAAAAUGGGUGUAGCGGAGAUGAGGAUGCUUCGUGGGAUGUAUGGGCACACGAGAAAGGAUAAGAUUGGGAAUGAGGAUAUCCAAGGUAAAGUAGGAGUAGCCAAAAUUGAAGGAAAUAUAAGAGAAAAUCGGUUCCGGUGGUUUGGACAUGUGCAAAGAAGGCCUACUGACGCUCUGGUUCGAAAAUGUGAUUACGGGACAGAAGUUAAGGGCCGAAGGGGUAGAGGAAGACCUAGGAAAACUUUGGAAGAGACCCUAAGAAAAUACUUGAUUACUUGGAUCUAACGGAGGACAUGACACAAAACCGAGCGCAAUGGCGUUCUAGGAUUCAUAUAGCCGACCCCACUUAGUGGGAAAAGGCUUUGUUGUUGUUGUUGUUGUAGUUUGUGGGAAAGCUACGGUAGUCCAUCUCUUUGGAGGUCGGGAAGACUUACAGAGGCAUUUCAGCUAUCCUCUUACUAUCAUCAUGUGAUUCACUAUCGUUAAAAAUCGAACCUAUGACAAUGUGUGGAAUGGGAAUCUAAAAUUGAUGAAGCAUUUGUAAUUUCAAAAUUUCCCCCUCCAUACAUAUUUCUUUUAUCAAGCCCUCCUUACAUAUAACAAUUGGAAAAAUUAACUUAAUUAGUAUGGGGUAAAAUAGUAAAUUAAUACAUGCGAAUUAAAACCACUCCACGUUGGGGUAGUUACAAACUUUUUUUAAGUACGCUUGUGACAAGAGAUUUGUGUCUACAUUGAUUUUGGUCGCAAUUAAUUUGAAAAGUGAGAUGGAGAUCUUGGUGAUGUUGAUUUAAAGGAGGCCUCCUCAUCGGACGGUGUUGGUGAAUAGCACCAUGCAGCAGUCAAUGGGUGUUGUGUGCAAACUCUGGUCAUCUGGUACUUCUCUUUAUUGAAAAAAAAAAAUUAAACGAAAAAAAAAUGCAAGAUAACUAUUUUGAAGUGCCAGUAGCAAUUCUUCGAGAAUGAAAUUAAAAAAUGUGGUCAAGUUCUUCAAAUCUAGUUGAAUCUGCUAAACCAUCACCUGUUAAAAGAGAAGUUAUAAACAUUACCAAAAUUGUAUCAAUCUUAACGAAGACAUCAAAAAACAAAAAUUGGAAAAGAAAAUGAAAAUUGUUUGAAAUCAAAAUCUCUAAUUGGGUGGCAUGAAAGGGAAAAGGGAGAGACUCUCAGGAACAAUAAAAAUGAGUGGCAUGGGAGAGAACUCAUGUUAUGUCAUUUUCUUAAUUUUAUGAAGAAGAGAAGAUGGACAUAGAUUGUGAGAUCGCCCUCCCUACCACUCAUCUUCACUGGCUUUUGAGAGAUUAUCUCCCAUUUCACCUCAGCCAAUUCUAAGAAUGUAUGUUGUGGUUACAUGACUAUGAUGCCUUAAUUUAUAGAAACUCGAGGGCACACAGAUUCAGAAAACCAACCUUAGAGCCCAUGGUUAGUAACGCUAGCAAUCUCGAGAAAAGCAUGUGUGCGUUCACGUGAUAAGAGAGAUGAAACGCCUAAAUUUGACUUGACAAUAAGGGAAAAUAAUCUAAGAGUCAUAAGGGUUGUGAGUAUGUUGUCAGUUUCCUUUUCCUUAUGAGACCCAUCACGGUUGGUGAAUAGAGGCCUGGUUUGGUAUUCUUGGAUCUGAUAUCUCGUCAUUGCAUUCACCUUGCACAUUUUCCAACCCAAAAAACUUUCAACUAAUGUCCGACCUUAUCAUAAGCAUAUUUAAAAACAUGUGGUCCAAUAUUUUAUUGGAUAUCGUGCUGGAUAUCUAACCAUGAGUCGUCGAUUCGAUGUACUAUAUGCAAUACAGGGAAAAAAUAUUGUUCUCAAUUUGUAAAAUUCUAAGUUUUGUUCAUACAAAUCACCCCUUUUUAUGUUGAUGGAAAUUAAUCGAGAUUCACUACAUCGCAAGUCUCUUUUUUGGUCAAAUGUUUACUUUAUUUAUAACACAACAGAUUACAAAAUAGAAGGCCCAAAUACAAUAAACACACAAACAAAAAGACAGACCUCCAUAGUAACCUAACAGCCCAAAACAUAGUUUUGAACCCUAAACAGGAAAAACACCAAAGCAAACCCUAGUAGCUUUCUACUUCCGUCGUCAACCCGCUUGCCGAACGAACAAUCCUUGCACCCAUCAAGAAAUCAAAAUAACUAAAGCGCCAAAGCUGGAUGAAAACAGAGCUACAACAGGACCCCAAAACAGAGCCCCAAACUCCUCCACAGCACACCACAGCAGUAGCCGCCACAAAUCGAAGGAAGCUAGCGGGAAAAAACCCACUAGCAACAGUGCCAACAAAGGCAAACCAAAGGAAGGAGGUGGUGUGAACACCGAGCCUAAGCUCUACUCCCCUUCCGGCAGAAGUGCGAUAAAUAGCGUUGAAAAAAAGUGGGAGCCAAGCAGGACUGAGAGAUCGAAGAAGGAUGAAGCCGAUCCGGAUUGGGGAACGUGGGGGGAAAGAGAGGGAAAUGGUGGAAAGAAGGAGAAAAGGUGAAAAAGGUGGAAGGAAGACGAAAGGAAACAAAGGGGAAAAGUGGAAGAAAGGAAGAAAUGGGAGAAGUUGGAAAAGGGACUGAGGUCAAAGAAAACAGAUGCACAGGGGGUUGAGUGGCAAACAGGCCACUGGGCGGGGGUACAUGGAAGAUGAAGGAGAAGGAGAAGGAAAGAAAAGGAUAAAGGAGAAAGGAGAAGGGAGAAGAGAAGGACUGCCACCGACCCUGGCCAUAACUAGGGUUGGUGGCUGCGGGAAGUAACGAAGUGGAGGACACACACACACAACAGGUAUAACAAGUUUCGGAACCGGAAGGCGACGUUCCGUUCCUUAUUCGUAAUUUUUUUCACACAUACCGCAAAGCUUUUGAAAUGAACAAACCAACUCGUAUAUGUUCACUUCAGACCUAGGGGAUAAGAACGAUAGAUCCAGAUGUUUUCCUGUUCUCAAGGUCUGUGUGUGCCUGUGCUGCUUCAGAUAAUGAGUAGGAGUGAUUCACUCGAACCCGCAAUAUACCCGAUGCAACAUUAGCAAAUACCUCUCCUGCGGCCUCUAACAAUUCCUCUCGAGUUGCAGCGUAAUGAAAGAGGCUAGGCCGAGUCAAGAAGAGUGAUUUCGCUGCAAUAGCUGAUAAUGGAACCGGAUCAGGCGCACCUGAUGACUGCCCAAAAUUCACCAUAUAUCCCCGAAGUUUUAAGACUUCCAGUGAUCCCUGAAAACAAUAACUCACGAUAAGAAUUCAUAGUCGAAAACAUUACUUAUCUAUUAGAUGAUGUCAAUGUUGGAGUUGAGUAGUUUGGAUAAAUCAUGACACGCUUAUGAAUAGAAGACAAGUAUAACUUACCUCAAACGUAUCCUUCCCUACAGAAUCGUAGACAACUUCAACCCCAUUGUUGGAUGUUAUUUCUUUCACACGAGCGACAAAGUCCUCGUCCUUAUAUAUUAUGACGUGGUGGCAUCCAUCCUCCUUGGCCUGAACUGCCUUUUCUUUAGUUGAUACAGUCCCAAUGACAGUCGCACCAAGGGCAUUAGCCCACUGGCAUAAAAGGGAUCCAACUCCACCAGCUGCUGCAUGAACAAGGACUGUGUGUCCAGGUUCGACCUGUAUAACAAUGGUCGAGUCAGAUCUUUUCACACUUAGCUGUGAUGCUUUUCUUAUUUCCGCAGACUGUCCAUCAUAACGGAAACAAGAAGCGUACCACAAAUGAAAAAGUGAAAGAGAAAAGGAAUGGCAGUUUUCCCAUGUAUCAGAUAGUUAAAGGAACAGAUUAAUAGAGAGAGAAAGCUUCUCAACUUCUAUGAGUGCUCAUGAUUCGCACAUGAAAGGGUUACACACAACUCAGCUUACGUCGCCGAAACAGGGACAAUAGCUAAAAUUGGUUCAGCGGUACACUGAAUUUCAUUUACUGAUUUACAUUUGCUGGCAGUGACCAGUAUUAUUAGUAACAAAUAUUCACCUUGACAGGAACAGUAUGCGUAUGAAACAAAGAGCUCUAUAAAAACAUUCUGCAAUUCCACAUUUAUUUUCAAGAGAGAUUAAAAAAAGCAGAUGCGGGUACAUAUGUGUAAAACUACCUUGAAACAGCGGCGUAGUAGAAACUGAGCUGUCGUACCCUUAAGCAUGAGGGAGGCUGCAACUUUAGGAUCAAUGGAAGGAGGAACAGGCACAGCUCUGUUUGCAGGAAGGAUCUGCUCUUGCGCAUAUGAGCCCAUUUGCUGACCAGCAUAGGCUACAAGAUCUCCAACUUGCCUGCCCGUUAGACCUGGUCCCACAGCUGUCACGACUCCACAAGCCUCGACACCUGGAAUCAGUUUUGGUUUAUACAUAAAUAGGGUAACUAGUAACUACAUCAGUGAUGUCCCAUAAAGUUUUAGAUGUAUAUAUACACAAUAAAACUAUUGGUGGGAACUGUUAUCUGAUUUCAUGCUCUGCACUCUUGUUUUAAGUUCAUCCAAAUCAUUCCUCGAAAUUUAUACUCAUGGGAGAGGUUGACAGUUUACACAAAAACUGUCAAGAAACCCAAAAAUUUUAAUAGAACGUUGAAAUGUAUCUCCAUAAUCUCAAAAAAUGAAUUUUUAUUCUAUCAGUGAACUUGUUGAAAUGAAGCAAAACCUGGGGUGUAGGGAAGCGUAGCAGCCUUAUAAAGGCCCUUGCGGUAGUACACAUCAAUGAAAUUAAUCCCGAUGGCCUCAUUCUUGACGCGAAUCUCGCCCUCCUUUGGCUCCCCUACUUCCACAUCUUCCCAUUUCAACACCUAACAUGAUCAGAUGGCAAAUGUAAGAAAAACGAUUAGGAAUUAUUGGCAUAAACUAAUAACCAAAGCAAAACUUUAACGAAAUGGAUAUCGAAUAAUCAGUAUCAAAGUGAGUAUAAAUCGUUUUCGGGUCCAAUUGCCGGCUUAUGUGAACGAUUAUAAAAGAAAAGCACUUGAUAUGGCACUAUAAACUCUCUACCAGACAGUAUAAAUUGAAGCUUAUCAUCCAUCAACAAGCAUGCUCACUUCCAAAUAAAUUAUCAUAGCACGGAUCAGAAGCAAUUCUCAAAUUCAAUGAGUCAAAAUUACAAACAAUAAAAACAACUCAGAUGCUUCUUAAUUAAAUUGGGCUGAUUCUGUUUUCUCAUACAAAUCAAAGCACAACCCAGAAUUCCAAUUCAUAAACAAUAUAUGUAGAGAGAGAGAGAGAGAGAGAGAGAGAGAGAGAGAGAGAGAGAGAGAGAGAGAGAGAGAGAGACCUCAGGGCCACCAUGUUCAUGGAUUCGGAUGGCUUUGACCAUCUUUGCUGCUGGUGGUGAUGCUGCUGCUUCAGUGGCAACUGAUCUAACUGCUACUGAUGAUCUCUGGGUCCUGGAAGGUAAACAAUUGAUGAAAUUGUUGCCGGAAAUCUGUGAAAAAUGUGUGAAUUUUGGAGCCGACAGCAACUGGAAAUAGGGCGGUGGACUUGUGAUUAAGAAAGGGGUUAAACUUAAACCGCGGUUCUGGAUGCUAAUUGGAAGUAAACCCAUUUCGGUUUUGACGUUGCUGAUUUGAUUUGUCCUACGUCGGAAUUGUAUCCGCUCUGAGAUAGCGGCCGGAUGAAGAAAGGCCACCUGCAGGGUUUUGUUUCAGCCCAAAAGAAUGGCAGGCCCAAUCAUUUUGGAGGGAAUGUGCUUUUGUGGAUGGACACGUGGGUGGCAAUGAUUUUGACACGUGGUUAGUUGAGGGGUGACUGAUCAAAUCUCAUGUGUACUGUGUGGAAUGUGGAUCACUCUCAACUAUAUUUCAAGAACAAGGAAAAUAAAUUGUACUUGUUACUUUCACAUAUGAUCAAUGGUAUGUUUUACAAUACAUGUAUCACAUGUUCAAUGACGGAACUAACAUUUUAUAUUGUUAGGGGCUUCUUAUAGAAAACGUAUUUCAAAAGAGAAGUUUGUUAACCCGAUUGAUAUUUGAGAGUAGAAAGAAACUAUAGUGUUAAGGACAUUUUCUCUCAGUGGUUAGUAUUCAUGUUCUAAUUGCUCUAUCCUUGUAUGUGUUCCUGCUCUAAUAAAGCGGUACUAUUAGAUGUAACAAUUGUGUCAUUUUUGCCACUUUUUUUUUUUUUUUGGGUUAUUGGCUUGGAUGUCCAUUAAUUUAAAGAUGCAAACUUUCAAUGUGUGACAACUACGAGCUGGUGGUCCAGUGGAUUACAAGACUUCCUUAAAACUAAAAACUGGAGGUGUUGGGUUCGAAACCCGUUGCUGGUGUGGAAGCCAGACUUGUGGUCAUGGGGAGGCUGAAAUGUCUCUGUAAGUCUUCUCGGCCCCUGAAAAUAGUGUAUAAUGUUGUCCUCAAAAAAAAAAAAAACUUUCAAUAUGUGGCAAAUGUGAGUUGUGGCAUUAAGCCAUAGUAUGUGAUAUUACAACAUAAAACGUUACUUGAUAAAUUAGACGUACCAAUUUAUGUAUAACUCAUGACUCAUGGGACCAUCCACCUCAAUAUAUCCAUAUAAGAACAAUCCUCUCCCUCUCUCUCUCUCUCUCUCUCUCUCUCUCUCUCUCUCUCUCUCUAUUCCGUUACUCUCCCGCUAACAACUUUCAUCCCAUCACAACCACAACGCUCCAAACCCAACGUCACCCAAAACAGAUCCAACGGCCAAGAAAUUCCAUCCCCAACAACCAAGAAACACAUCCGACGCUCCACGUUAAAAACUCAGUAAGGCAACCAAUCAAAACGCCCGUCAUUCAAAGUCACUGCUCCUCCGGUCUCCCACGCGCCAAGACAAACGCGCGUGAAAAAGCCGCCGCGCGCGAGAUUAUCGCGUUCAUGCAGCAGAGCAAAACGACGUCGAGUGUCCGCAGCGAUUUCUGUAUUUAUGAGAUUGCAGACAAACAAACCCGCAUGAACGUCCGAAUAAUGCAGAAUCGAAUUUACCCAGCGGUAAAUUCUAGAAGGUUGUUUGGGUAAAUCGGUCUGCAUCCCGCAGGCUUUAUAAGUAUCUACUGCGGUGAAAAGUGUGAGUUUUUGGUGGAAGCUUGGGUUUUUAACUGAGUGGUGAUUUCUCUGUGGGAGUGUGAAAAGAGUGAGCUUUUUCUUCGAUUUUCUUGGAGAGGAUGAGCAAGUACUUGGAGAAGAAGCAAGUCCAAAACAAGCCAGAAAGCAAAAGCACUUUUUUGGCCACACAUGCUCUGCUCACCUCUGCUUCUGCUUCUCCUUCUUCCUCACCCGUUUCUUCUCUCGGUACGUACUUUCAUCGAACACAUUGUCUUCAUAUCUUCGUCUUCCUUCUUCUUAUUCUGAUCAUUUCCGUUUCGGUUUCAUUUUUUUUUUCCUGAUGUGAUUGUUUCUUUUGGGUAUUUUGCAGAUGCUAUCGAGCACAUUAAAGUCGGCUGUUUCUACCAAAUGGACCAGUCCAAGCUCCAUGGAAGAACAGUACCAGAGCAGCUCAGGGCCGUACGGAUCGUCAUGGUACUACUUCAUAUUUUCAUUACCCAUAAAACACACAAAAACCCACUGAUAAUUUUCGCCAUUGUUCUUGAAUCUGGUUUAUAUUUUUCAGUUUUUUUUUUUUUGUUGGUUUCAAUCAAAUGGGGUUUUUUAUUUGGGUUCGUUUGAUUUGUAUACAGGUGAGUGCGAAGGGCGCGUUUAAAGUGGCGGUGAGGUUUCCGAGCCUUCACUCUCUCCACGCUCAUAUCUCCGCAAAGGGGUAUCCAAAACAAGACGCCAAGCAGAUUCCGGCGCUCAACGAGAAGUAUGUGAUGUCCCCGGAAAUGGCGUCGGAGGUGCUUUACCGGAGAAUCCCACCACAGGAGAUGGUAGAUCGGAGCAACAUUUGGAGCUUCUGGGCCGUUCAACCUCCGUUGAAGAAUCACCCGAGAAGCACGUUGUCGAGCCCAGCAGUAAGUGGCGGAGGCGGAGCCAUUACUAGCAGCGUGGUUCCUAAAAAGGGUCCGUGUUGGUCCGAGCUCACGUUUGCCGGAAUGGUGAAGUGGGGCAAGCGCCGGCAGAUUCGCUACCUCCGGAGGCACGAGUCGUCGCCGAGCUCUGGCUCUGACGAUGAAGAAACGGAGAAGGGAAGGGAGGUUAUGGAGCUGGAGGAAGAUAGCGAUGAUGGUUUCACUGAGAAAGUAGUAACUGUGAUAGACGAAGACGAUGGCAUUGAAGAAGAAGAAGAAGGUGAGGAGACAGAGGAAGAAGCUGCUCCUCAUGUUCUGCCAUGGAAGAUGAACCUCCGGAGUCGGAAGCGGAAGCAUCCCGAUAAUAAGAGAAAAAUCAAAUCUCCAACCCAAAAGCGAUCAAAAUCCAGAGCAAAGCCUCCGAAUCAGAAUAACCAUAUUGUAGCAGUUCCUGAUCGCAGCAGCAGAAAAUUGGCUAAAGUUAAACACACAGUAGCAAGAUGGUCAGCAGGAAGGUGAGAAUGAGAUUAAUAUAGUAAUAUCAUUAAUUGGGUUUAUUAAUCUGUUAAUUAUAUUAACUGGGUCGAUUUUUGGGUUUAAUGAUCGUGGGUUCUUAACUUGAUUUGGGUUUUUUGCAGGUACAAGCUGGCGGAGGAGAACAUGUUGAAGGUGAUGAAGGAGAAAGGGGCGGCGAUUGGGAACCCAAUACGGCGGCCGGCGCUGAGAGCGGAGGCUCGGAGGCUGAUUGGAGACACGGGGUUACUGGAUCAUUUACUCAAACACAUGGCGGGCAAGGUGGCGCCUGGUGGGACGGAGAGAUUUAGGCGGCGGCACAACGCCGAUGGAGCCAUGGAGUAUUGGCUGGAGAGUGCUGAUCUGGUCCACAUCCGGAAGGAGGCUGGGGUUCAAGAUCCUUACUGGACCCCUCCGCCGGGGUGGAAGCCCGGCGAUAGUCCCACCCAGGACCCCACUUGUGCAAGAGAGAUUAAGGAGCUCCGUGAAGAAAUUGACAAGAUUAGAAGGUAGUUAAACACGUUUUUAGUCUCUUAAUUAUGGUAUUAGUCUCUUAACUGUUUGUGACACACUGGAUUUUUACAGGGAGAUGGAGGAGUCCAAGCAGCAAGGGAAUGCUGGUUUGGCUAUGGUGACCGCUUCAAAUUCUAAUUUGACCGGUGUUGACUUGGAUCGUUACGGUUCAUUAAUCCCGAUUAAGGUUGUGACUUUGUUUAUGAUUAAGUUUGAUUAUAUUUUCUUAAUCAUGAUUAAGUUAUGUACUUAAUGUUUGAUAGGGUUUUAUCAUUUUUGCAGGAGGCUUGUGCAGAGCUGGAGAAGAAGAUAGCUAAGAUGGAUGAAGAAAGGAUCGAGUUUGUGACCAAAAAAGAAGAACAAAUGAUGGAGGUUACUCAAUCUUUGUCCGGAAUUAAGGUAAUUAAUUGACCCCCUAAUUAUCUUAAUUAUGUCUGUCUUAAUUGCGUUUAAUAAAUACAUUGAUUGGUGGAGGUUUAAAUGUUAAUGCAGGAGAAAAUCAGGAUGUUCGAAUCAAGCAAGGAAGAUGCAGUCACAAUUUCAGGAGCACCACCACCAUCAGAAGCAAAACCAGCCGGUGAGAAGAAAGAAAUAGAUACACUAAGCGGCGGAGACAAGGCGGCUGCGGCGGCGGAGUGCAAGGCGGCAAAAAUAGAGAGGCUGAGGAGUGGGUUCAGGAUAUGCAAGCCGCAAGGCACGUUUCUCUGGCCAGACAUGGGCAGCCCCACCAACAUUCCCAGUCCUUCUUCCCAGAUUCUGGCCCCACCACAUGACCUCUUUGUGGUCCCCACCCCACCCUCAUCCUCCUCCUCCUCCUCCGCUCCCCGCCCCCUCAUCAGCCCCACCACUCCCCCUGUGAAGCCGGUGGCUGAGCGGCGCCCAGUGACCACCACCACAUUGUGCAAUGUGACCACAAUACCCUCUUCCACUCCUAUUGUCGCUCCUCCACCUGUCCUGGCCCCACAGACCCAGAGUUCCACUACCGUCACCAUCAGUAAAACCCUACUCAUAAACCUCAACGAGCUCCCUGCAACAACAGCACCGAACCCUAACCCUAAUCCCCAAACCAGCUGUGAAGCUAUCACUACGCUCACCACCUACCACAGAAGACACCACCAUCAUCUGCCACGUGUACGUCUCUCACCCCCUUCUCCUUCUUAAUUGAUCAUUUCCUCAGCCCUAAUUAUCUUAUUAAAUUAAACUAAUUACAUUUUUUUGUGUGGAAAUUAUGCACAGAUGGUGAAGGAGGAGGAGGAGGAGGACGACGAAACUGCAAGAAACGGUGAUGAUCAGCAGAGGCGGUGCGCCUCUCCUGCUUCCACCUGGAACGGAGAGAAAUGGUGGAUGGCUGUGGGAAAUCCUAGCACUUCUUUGGAGGGUUGAUUUUGGACCGUUGAUUCAAUCUUGCAGCGGGGCUAAAUAUAUAUGGGGUAUACUUUAUAGGGCUACUUUAUAAUUAUAGGAAAUUGGCGGGUAUAGAAAUAACUGUAUCUAGGUAUACAUGAUGAUUAGGGAUUUUGCACUAUAGUCCAAAAAUUGGGUUUUUUGCUGGCAUUUUUCUAAGAUUGCUGGUAUGCCAUUUUGGACACGGAUAAAGAUUGGUUUUGUCCAAGUGAGAAAAUCAAAAGGAGGCUAAAUUUUGUCACACACACGUGUGAGCGUGGUUAAUAUAAUUAAUAUUAUGUAUAAUAAGGCAAUGAUAUGUGUCCUUUUUAUUAAUGCUUACUUUUAACUAUGCUUUUAGAAAUCCAUUUUAUUUUAACUUUGCUUUUGUAAUAAAAAAACUGUCACCUUACUCUCUAAACCGCAAAAUUUUAUCCAGUUUACCUCAUGAAACUCGAUUUUGGAUGGGAACCCUCCUUAACCGCUUGCAGUCGACAAUUUGAAUAUACUAAGAUUUGGAAUUGCAUCAUCUUCCAACUUCCAACUCUUCCAAAUUUUCCAACACGUGGAGAUGGCAAGUUCCCAUUUAGUCUUGGUAUUGCGGGUGUAGGCUUUUUUUUCCAGGAAACUUGGAAGAGGCUUGGUGCAGUCUAUUACUGUCAACUUGCUUUCUUCAUUUUUGACAUCUUUUGAGAGAUCUUAGGUUCGAUUUUCACAUAAGGCGAGUUUGAACCACUUUAUUGCUAGCUCAUUGUGAGGCUAAGUUCACCCAUUUCCCGUGUUGAUAAUACCAUUUGUUUUAAAAAAAAAUAUCUCUGAAAACCUUGGAUGUUUGGUUUAAGAAAUUCAAAAACCAAGAAUCUAGAUCAAAAUGCCAUUCUGAAGCUGAUGGGGUGUCCUAAAUUUUAGCCCGAGACUCGUGUAUCAGGCAGCUUACUUAAUGACGCAGCCAACAGAAGAGAGUUGAGAAAGUGAUGGGAACACAGCCAUCGACAGACUACAACGACAGCCUUGGCCAAGGAAUCGAAAAGUUGGUAACGUCCAAAGACAUCAGAAAAGUGUCGACGAUGACCAUAAGACCAUCACACAAGAUUAUCUGUGUAUCCAUUCACGUGUUAUGAUAUGAGAAGAAGACUGAUUUAUAUUAUCAGGUACCCAAGAAACUCAUUGUGUCACAUCAACUUCAACAUAGUAUAUAUUCAUAGGCUUGCAGGACUAUGAGGGAACCCAUAAACAGUUACAAACUAAAACCCCUAAUAUAUGUUCCAGAUCCAUAUGUCAAACAAAACCAAACCAUAGUACUCUACAAAUUAUAAGUUGGUAGAAUCCAUAUCGGAGGUACAUCGGUCUUGCUCAUCAGAGUCCCAGCAUCUCCGUGGAACGGAUUUUCUAAAAGCCUCUUUUCCUCGACGUUGUAGACGCCAUAAUCAAAAGCUCCACUUGGUCCAAGGCCUCCUUCAACCACAAGAUGAUCAUGAAUGAAGUAUAUGCAAUUCGCUCGAUAUCCCGACUUUGAAGCACAAACAGAUAUUGAAGAGUUGUUUCCCAGAAACAAAGCAACGUCACCUAAAGUGUUCUUCUCCGUGCACUCACCCUUGCUGAUAUUUAGUUCAAAGACUCUGAAUCUUUUUGUCUUUGUCUCAUGAUCGUCAUAAUGGUCCAUGCACCUUCGAACGAUCAGCAUUGUUUUCUCAUUACAAACCACAAGAUAUUCCUUGCAAAUAUAGUUGUCAUCGACUACAAAUCCGCCUAAAACCACUUUCACAGGUGACACAGACUGAGUAGCAACAUCCAAAGAAUAGAGUUGACGGAAAUAAUCAACAAGAUAAAAUCUCUCUUCAACUGUAACAACUUCAGCGAUAAAAAACCUUCUUUGCUCAACCGUUUCCGUUUCAGGGACAUAAGUCCAAUUACUGUCUUUGUUAAGUCGAAUAAAAGCCAAUUUGUACAUGUUCGCAAACAUGACCAUAACAAUGCAGUUGUCGGCAUUUAGUAUUGGAUCUUCUGAAAUUGUAGCCUUGUAGACAAAAUAAUCUCCACGAUGAGGAGGCCGAUUCAAAUCUGCAGGGCCUAGCGGAGGAAGGCGAAUUAUUGACUUUUCAUGAUCUCUUCUCCCUCCAACACCAAAAAGGAAUGGAUUUAUCAGUGACACAACACGUUUCUCAUCCACAACAAUUAACCAUCCUUUUGAAGACCCACAGAAUAGUUGUCUUCCCAAACUCAAUUGGGUUUUAAGAACCUUGUCGGUCACCGGAUUGUAUAAAUGCCACUUAUCAUUCUCUGCAUCAGAAGAAAUCAACAUCAUCGGAGUUGUCGUGACGGCACAAUGGGUCUGUAUACCCUUUGCAGCCGAACACCAUGACCUGCAAACAAAGCUAAAUUCUUUUGGUGUCUCCAGUCUCCCUACAACUAAAUUUAAAAUCUCUGUCGGCAACGCGGCCCAAUCUGACAUGAACCAAAAGAUAAAAAACACUGGUAAGCCGAGCUGAUGAUGAAGAAUUAGACCGACGUUCCUAUAUUCUUUGAUCAGCAUGUACCAGUUCACAAACUAAACAGAUAUAAAGAUAAAUCUAAAAAACCCUAAUUGAACAAUUUGAUUUAUCGAUCCAUAGAUUCUAACUCCACAGCAAGAAUUUUUACUAUUUUAUUUUAUUUUCAGGGAAAAUCAGAAGAAAUUGAGGGCGGCUGCCGCUCCGGCUCCGCUCCUUAGGCCAUCUCCAACCGAAGGGUCCAGAGGACCAGAGGGCCGAAAAUAGCCCUAAAAUCGUCUCCAACCGAGGGCUAGGCCAGAGGGCUCUGGAAUCUGGGAGGGCCCCACGGGAUCGGAGAGGGCUGGAGGGCUGGCUAUUUUUUUUUUUAAUGAUUUCUUAUUGCUGUCGGUUAAAACCGACAACAUUAAAGACCUUUUUUUUAAUAGUUUUGCUAUUAGUGUCGUUUAUAACCGACACUAAUAGUUUGAAAUGUUUUUUAAAUAACGGCUAGCUGAGUCAGCUAGCCGUUGGUUGUUUUUUUUUUUUUUUUAUAAUUUAUUUUAAACAUUUUUUUCUUCUAUAAAUAUAGUGAAGUUCUUUCAAUUCUUCACUUCAUUGGCAAUAUUUCCUUCUUCAAUAUUUUUCAAUAUUUCCUUCAAUAUAUUUCUCAAUAUUUCCUUCAAUAUAUUUUCUAAUAUUUCCUUCAUCUAUAAUAUUUGUUUCAAUUUUUCAAUAUUUCCUUCAAUAAAUUUUUCAAUAUUUCCUUCAUUUCUUUUAUAGGAAUAUGGAAAGGAACACUUCGGAUUACACUCCAAUGAGUAAGGCCUAUUUUGAUAGGAAAAAAAAAGAAAUUAUGUCUCGGCGGCAAUUGUUUACCUCUGACUAUACUCCUACAAUGGCGGAUGAUGAAAAUGAUAUUGAUUAUGGAUAUUAAAUUUAAGUCGUUGUAAUUUUUAAAUUUAAGUUAAUGUUGUUUUUAAAUUUAAUUUGUAGUGUUUAAAUAUAAGUUGUUGUAGUUUUUAAAUUUAAAUAAUAAAUUAUGUUUGGUCCUAUGGCCCUUUGGCCCUCGGUUGGAGACGGUUUUUUGUGACAAGGCUAAAACGAGCCAUUUGGCCCUCUGGCCCUCGGUUGGAGACGGAGGCAAAUAUGACCAUGUACUGUUCAUUAAAAUAUUAAUAUCUUGGGAAAUCUUGGAGGGCUAGAGGGCUCAAACGAGCCAUCUGGCCAGCCCUCGGUUGGAGAUGGCCUUAGGGUUUGACUAGGGAUUAAUCUUGCCUUUCGGAGUGUGGGAUGCCUCAGCCUUCAGAAAAAUAAAUAAAUCAAUCAACAGUACAACGAAUAAUAAAAUGCAAUUGUAGACAUCGAAAUUUCGGUAAAUAAAUGUUGACCGAUAAAUCAAAGUGUCAACCCUCAUGUAUUACAUAAAUUUUACACGUAGCGUGUGACUCAACGAAAAUUGAAAUGAGUUGGAAAAGUCAUCAAAUAGGACACGUGUCAACACCUGGCAGAAACGACUUAUUUCAUCUGAGAUAUUAUAUUCAAAAUUGGGCCUUGAAAAUUUCUAUAAAUAGAAGCCAAUUUCAUUCAUUUCAAAAAAAACCAAAAAAAUCAUUAGGCAAAACUCUUGAAGCUCUGAAGCUCUGAAACUCCGAAGCUCUCAAGCAUCCAGGUUCCCGAAGAAUCAAGAAAGCGUUCUUCGUUCAUCGUUCAUCCUAAGAUCAAGCCCCGACGGCCCUUUGGAUCAACAAUCAUCCACCUUCAAGCCCAAGCCUCAACGGCCCCCUUGAAGAAAGCGUUCAUCGUUCAAGAUCUGUUCAUCCUCAAGGAUCAAGCCCCAACGGCCCCUUUGGAUCGACAACAUCAACAAAUCCGCUCAUCCGCUGUUCAUCAAGCCCAAGUCCUGACGGCCCUUGAAGAAAGCGUUCAUCGUUCAUCACUGUUCUUCGAGAUCAAGCCCAAAAGCCCUCGAAGAUCUGUUCAAGCCCAAAAGCUCUCGAAGAUCCGUUCGUCACUGUUCUUCGAGUUCAAGCCCAAAAGCCCUCGGAAAUCCGUUCAUCACUGUUCUUCAAGAUCAAGCCCAAAAGCCCUUGAAGAUCCGUCAAUCACCAUUCUUCAAGAUCAAGCUCAAAAGCCCUUGAAGAUCCGUUCAUCCUCGUUCAUCCAAGAUCAAGCCUCGACGGCCCUUGGAUCAAUCGCACAUCCCACAAAUCAACACCUUACGGAGAUCGAAUCAGAGGAUCAAAACAGAGAGAGAUUGUAACCUAAAAUCAUCAAAUACAAAUAUUUUGUUUGUGCGCGUUGUUCUUGUCUCUUUCGUUUCAGGAAUUUUCCGUGUUCACAAAUUGGCACGCCCAGUGGGACAAUCUCUACCUCUCAUCUCUUUCUCCGUUCAAGGAAUCCAAACACACCUCAAAGUCAAUGACAUCAAGCAAGGGACAAGCCGUUCUCACAAUCACUGAGGGAAGGAUCCUAAGCACUUCUGCCGCAAAUGGACAAUCCAUUGGCGCCACAACCGCUCCUCAACAUGCCACUUCAAAGUUGGUGCCGCUAAAAGAGCAAGGGGAGCAUCAAAGGUGUGAGUCUGUCAUCAACCUGACCUCGCUGGGGGCACCGAAGCAUGCUGCUGAGGCACACAAGAUGACACCCCAAAACAGCCAACAACGUUCUUCAUCAGCAUCCUGGAUGUCUAAAGGAAAGUCACGUUUAUUGGUUGCACAAGUCAUGACCAUCGGCGUUACCUCCAUCGAAGAACAGCUGGCUCAAAUGAAUGAAGCAAUCGCAAGGCUAACCCGAACUGUGGAAGAAAAAGACUUGCAAAUUGCAGCACUAGUCAACCGACUGGAGGCGCAAGACGACGAUAAACCCGACCCAGAGGAUGAUCCACUAAAGGGAGGAGCUGGCGGAGACGAAGAACCCCCGGUGAAGAAAAUCGAUGGGAAGCCGGAGCCAGACCAAGCAACGGCACUCAUGGGAUCUCUUUCUAUCCAGCAGCUACAGGAGAUGAUCACUAACACCAUCAAGGCACAGUACGAAGGGAGCUUACAUACCUCCUUGUUCUACUCGAAGCCCUAUUCCAAGAAGAUUGAUGCUCUAAAGAUGCCAAGGGGUUAUCAACCACCAAAGUUCAUGCAGUUUGAUGGAAAAGGAAACCCAAAGCAGCACGUUGCACAUUUCGUCGAAACUUGCAACAACGCGGGGACGGAGGGAGACUACCUCGCCAAGCAGUUUGUGCGCUCGCUGAAAGGAAACGCCUUUGAGUGGUACACGGACCUAGAACCUGAAUCCAUCAACAGCUGGGAGCAAUUGGAGCGGGAAUUCCUCAACCGCUUCUACACCACCCGCCGCACUGUGAGCAUGUUAGAGCUAACGAGCACAAAACAGUGGAAGGACGAGCCAGUCAUUGACUACAUCAACAGAUGGCGCACUCUAAGCCUCGACUGUAAAGACAGGCUCUCGGAAACCUCUUCAAUCGAGAUGUGCAUCCAAGGCAUGCAAUGGGGUUUGCAAUACAUCAUUCAAGGCAUUAAACCACGGACUUUCGAGGAAUUGGCCACUCGCGCCCAUGACAUGGAGUUGAGCAUCGCCCAUUAUGGGAAGAAGGAACCGAUCGCCGACUACAAAAAUGACAAAGUUCUUGGGCCAAAGGUGGAGAAGGCUACGUGGAAACCCACCAAGGAAGCAAUGACGGUCAACACACCUCCCGUCAAAAUCCCUACACGAGGCAAGGUGAUUCAAGCCGAAGGCUUUCGUGAUCAAGAGAUGCGUAGACACACUUUGAAGGAGCUUGAGGAGAAAACUUAUCCAUUCCCCGACUCUGAUGUGGUUGCCAUGUUAGAAGACUUGCUGGAAAAGAAGGUGAUCGACUUGCCUGAGUGCAAACGGCCAAAAGAGAUGAAUCGCACCGACAGUCCAAGGUACUGUAAAUUUCACCGCUUCAUCAGUCAUCCGACAGAAAAAUGUUUCAUGCUAAAAGAUCUCAUCAUAAAGCUGGCUCAGAAAGGAAUCAUCGAGCUAGAUCUUGACGAAGUGGCGAAGUCAAACUAUACCACCUUCACUUCUGGCUCUUCCGACUCAAAGUUUUCACCUCAACCGCUGGGGGCAUCCUCCAAGACAAGCAAAAUUGAAGGAUGGACUCAAGUCACUCCUAAGAAAUUGCACAAGAAGCAUACGUCUCCUCCACAAGUCUGCCAAUCGGAAAGGGGGCAAAGCAGCUUUUGUCAACCUUCAAAGCAACAUGAACGUGUUGAAGAUGAUGAAAUUUUGACACAUAGAUCGUCCAUCCCCAUCACGAUGCGCGAUUUCUUUCCUGAGGACUUCUUCAACUACUCAGUCAAGGCUCCUUGUUAUGAAGAUUGCGAGGAACGACUCUCUCAGAUCGCUUGACGAACCAAUGCUCCUUGUUCGCAUGAGCCUAAACUGCAUGGCACAAUGCUCCUUGUUCGCACGAGCCUAAACUGCACGAACCAAAGCUCUUUGUCCGCACGAGCCUAAACUGUAGGACAAAAAGCUCUUUGUCCGCACGAGCCUAAACUGUAGGACACAAAGCUCCUCGCCCGCACGAGCCUAAACUGCAUGACACUAAGCUCCUGGUCUGCAUGAGCAUAAAAGGCAACACCAACUGCUCCUUGCCUGCACGAGCUGAAACUGCAACACGGCACCAAAUGCUCCUUGUCUGCACGAGUUGAAACUGCAAACGACACCAACACUCCUUGCCUGCAUGAGUUAAAACUGCAAACGGCACAAAAAGAAAAUACCAAAAAUAUGUAUGUAUUUGAACUACGUUACGACUUGAUCUCUUCUUUGGAGGGGUACGUAGGCAGCUCGAAUGUUCAAUUUUUCGAGUUCAGUCACAUCAAAAUAAAAAAAAAGUGUUUUAUUAAAUAGAGUCAAUUUUAUUACAAAAAGGGAAAAAAUGAAUACAUAUGUUAUUAUGUAUUUACAAAAAAAAAAAAAAAAAAAACAACAACAACAACAAAAAUUAUAUAUAAUAUAUAUUUUUAUAUAGCGGGCCUAGGUCCAGCUCUCACCAAACUCACCAAAUGCCAUGGGCCGGCCCAGUGCCAUCAUCAUCUUCAUCUCAAUCGAUGCAGCCGGAUACCACUGGCCCAAAUCCAAGCCCAACUCUCUUCUCUCUCUCCCUCGGACAGUCUGACGAGUGAGAAUGGAAGGCAAAUCGUACCAAAGGCUCCCGCGCGUCAAAAUCUUCGAAAUGCGUGACGACUACGUGAAGUUUGAGCUCCGCGACACUGACGCCAGCAUCGCCAACGCACUUCGCCGCGUCAUGAUUGCCGAGGUCCCCACCGUCGCCAUCACCCUCGUCGAGAUCGAGAUUAACUCCUCCGUACUCAACGACGAGUUCAUCGGCCCAACCACGACCCUUUCAUCCGAGCCAUCAGACUCCGUAGUUCCUGCACCCGCCACAAAGGGCAACCAUAAACUCACUGAUGCCAUUCUCCCUGAGUCGAAAAACUGGAAAGAAGAAGGCAUAGUGACCCCGGUUAAAGAUCAAGGUCACCGUGGAUCUUGCUGGACAUUCAGCACCACUGGAGCUCUCGAGGCAGCGUAUGUGCAGACAUUUGGAAAGCAAAUCUCCCUCUCCGAGCAGCAGCUUGUGGAUUGUGCUGGAGAUUUCAACAACAACGGCUGCAAUGGUGGGCUGCCAUCUCAAGCAUUUGAGUACAUUAAGUAUAACGGGGGUCUUGACACUGAGGCUGCGUAUCCCUACGUUGGAGUAGACGGUGCUUGCAAAUUUUCGUCGGAAAAUGUUGGCGUCCAUGUCGUCGACUCUGUCAAUAUCACCCUGGGUGCUGAAGAAGAAUUGAAGCAUGCCGUUGCAUUUGUGCGACCGGUCAGCGUGGCGUUUCAGGUCGUCCAAAGUUUUCGGUUCUACAAGUCGGGAGUUUACACCAGUGACACAUGCGGCAGCAGUUCCAUGGAUGUGAACCAUGCAGUUCUUGCAGUUGGGUACGGAGUGGAAGACGGCGUCCUGUUCUGGCUCGUCAAGAACUCUUGGGGACAAAGCUGGGGGGGACGUCGGGUACCGUAGCCGCACCAGCUCAGGUCGCACGUCUUGUAGCAGUUAUGGCAGGUACGAGUCGCCCACUCCUUUAAACUUCUCUGAUCCCACAAUCCCAGUCCAAAAAAAGGUACAGGAAGCUCUUUACCGCCGCCAUUACCGCCAUCGCCGCCAUGCCAGAGGAAGCUUAUGAGAAUGGGUGUGCAGAGAGAUUCGAAGCUCGAUCACAACUACUUCGUGUCCGAGGUCCACGCCUGGACUGUCUCCCUGAUUGAUGGUUGCAUCGAGAGGAGGGAAAUCUUUUCUGCUGCAAGUCAGGGCACCGAGAAACCUCCAUGGGUGCUUGUAUCACUUGCUGUCAAAUAAAAAAAAAGAAUAAAAAAAAAAUCUGGUUGAGGUUUAGUUGUCUUGAGCACAAGGUCUGAUCUCAAUAGGGCAUCUUUGACAAACGAUGACACGGGCAGAAGUGUCAUCUGAGCAUAAGCUUCGUCUGUUUCGGUGUCUGCAUGCAAGAUGACAUGGUGAAGGAGACAUAUUAGCUUGGAUAGUUCGGUAUUUGAUCAUCCACAUCCUUGAAGCCGCAAACUGUUCGUUGCUGGCUCCGCCCUCGUCCUCCUCUACAAGACCUUUCCUUCUGCCCAGCAAGAAUGAUCAGCCACGAACUCCACACCUCCGGCUCCAGCUCUCCGUCCGUCUUCGUCCGCUCCCUGCAAAUUCCUCUACCCACCAUCCUAAUUUAUACAGGAAAAAAAAAAAAAAAAAAAAAAAAAAAAAGUGGUGGUGCGUCUGGCACCACGUGAAUAAAGAAUGGAUGGUGGAGUCUUUGGUGCUCUGGCACCAUGUGAGAAAAAAAUAUAUAUAUAUAAAGGAGAAGGAAUGGUGCCUCUGGCACCGUAGGAAAGUAUAAUAAAAAAAAGAAAAAAAAAAGAGAAAAAGGAAAUCUGGAUUGAUCUGGCACCAUACCUAAAAAUAAAAAAAUUAAAGAAUAAAAAAAGGGAAAGCAAGUAGGAAGGUGGGAUGGUGCGGAUUGCACCAUGUAAAUAUACAUAUACAUGUAUGUACAUAAUAUAUGUAUGUAUAUAGCAAAAAAAAAAUACAUUGAGAGAAAUAAAGUCCAUUUUAUUUAUUUUUUUGGGAAUUUUUACAUAAAAUUACAUUCUACAUACCUUAAAAAAAAAAAAAAAUCAAAUCAAAUCAACUCAAAAUUACAAGAGGGGAUCUUCAAGGACGAUUAGGUGGCGUCUCACAACUCGGCGGAGCUCCAGGAAGAGUAGGUGCUGGAGGUUGACUGUUUGAAGCCUCAGCAGUCGGCAGAGCCUCAGAAGACGAAGGCAAAUGCUGCUGGAACAAACCCACAAACCUCUGAUGAUCAAGUAAAAUCUGACCAUCAGAUUCCUGCAUCUGGUCAAUCUUCCUCUUCAUGUUUGUCGCAUAGCUAUGUGCGAGCUUAUGCAACUGUUUGUUCUCCUGCUUGAGCCCUCUAAUCUCCUGUUUGAGACUCAUCACUUCAGCCGCCAAUGAUUCAACUUGACGGGUUCGAGCAAAUAGGCGUUGGGCCAUAUUAGACACAGAACCUGCACACUGCACACUGAGAGCCAGAGAAUCCUUAACAGCCAACUCAUCAGACCGUUUGGAAAGUAAUCUGUUAUCUCUGGGAGUGACAAGGUUCCGGGCCACCACCGCAGCGGUCAUAUCAUUCUUCACCACUGAAUCCCCAGCGGUAAGAGGACCAGUGGGGGAUAUGAAAGAUGGGCGCCAUAUGUUGUCUGGAGAAGAAGGGACUGCCUCUUCACCAAGAUUCAAGUCAAAACGACGAUCGGAGGGGCCAGACAUUUUCAAAGGUGUUAAAGAAAGAAGAGGUCGGACAAAUCGAGAUCUUAGAAGUGCAAGAAGGUACAAGCAAAAUUUCAAGUGUGCUUUGAAAUGAACUGCCUGCCUCUAUAAAAAAUCAGCACUCGACGGGAUUUCAGAGAUCGAAGAGGCGAGCUCAGAAUUCGAAGAGGCCAUUCAAAAAUCGAAGAGGCAAGCUCAGAAAUCGGAGAAGCAUCUUGCUUUUCCAGACGCGUCGGCACCUGUCAUAUGCAAACUCAGCUUUGCGGAAAUCACGGGUAAUUUGUUGAAGCACCGAUCCCAGAUAUUGAAGAGGCGCCAGUCUUUUUCAGCCGCGUCAUCACCUGUCAUAUGCACACUCAACUUUGCGCAAAUCACAGGCAAUUUGUCGAAGAUUUUCGGUGAAGGAGAAAGCACGUGAAAAUUUACUGUUCAAUCACGCGUUAGUUGCCGACACAAGUGAAAGAAUACUACCUUUACAGGUAUUAAGGGACCUCCUAUAACUGUCCACAUUCACCUUCCAUAGCAAGGCAGACACACAUAGCCUCUCUUCAUCUCAAAAAAAAAAAAAAUGUUUUCCCAACGAAACCUCUCGAGUCAUUCAGUGUUCCUUAUUCCUUGGAGCACCUCCGCAAGCCAAUGACUCCAAAGCAAAAGUAUCUCAUAUCACCAGGGUAGAAAGCAAGAGUAUCUCAUAUCAUACACUCUCCCUAUCCUUUCCUUUGUCCUUGUUCCUACCUACAAAGACAAGGAUAAAGAAAACAAUAUGCCGGAACUUCCACUCAAACUCGGGUAAGGAACCGACUGCUUGGAACCCUUCCCUGAUUGCCUACCUAGCACUGCUCUCGAGUACUCGCCUUCCACUGCUGCUGUACUUUCAAAGAAGCUGCCACAUCUACUUGGAGGACAGAUAAGGCAAGUGAAAAUGAUACCUUGCAGCAUGUGGAGACAAGGUGCAGAAGGAACAAGCAGAGAAGAAUGCGGUUUGCACGAUCAACUCAGCAGAAGGAGUCCGAACUGAGGAACUCGAGAAGCUGCCAUAUCUGCCUGAAGACACAAGCAGAGAAGAAUGCAGCAUGCACAGUCAACUCAGCAGAAAGAGUCCGAGAUGAAGAACUCGAGAAUAUGUCGCAUCUGCCUGAGGACAGUGAACUUGUUUUGACCCUCAAAUUCUUGGGUCGACUUACUAGGCGUUGUGGGCUGCACGUGCCGAUUCACCACCCUUGAAUCGAAUCCUUAAAGAUCAAGUCAUCAACUGGAAGAAAAGCCCAUCAAUCUUGAAGAUCAUACUGUUGACCAAACUGCUCAGGUGUGAAUUAGAAAGAUUGAACAAAGAAACAGGUUGUCACCUUCACCUCGUGCCUGCUUGCCAUGUGUUCGAGUCAACCUUCAAGAAUCAAGCCUCAACGGCCCUUGAAGAAGUUUCCGGCCAAAUUCAAGAUCAAGCCUCGACGACCCUUGAGGAAAUCACAAGUCCGAUUCAAGAUCAAGCGUUCACCAUAUUUGAAUCAAAUCCAGUUCAAGAACAAGCUGUGGAAAAUCAACAAUUGGAGGAAUCCAGAAAAUCCUCCAACCCAGUUCAAGAUCAAAGCUGUGGAAAGUCAACAAGCGCAACAAAAUACGUGCCGAUUCAUCCACUACCAAAGCCAAAUAUCAUCUACCACAUGAAGCUCCUUGUGGCCCAAUUUCAACCUUCAAGAUCAAGCCUCGACGACCCUUGAAGAAAUUUCAAACAAAAGUUCAAGAUCAAGCCUCAAACGGCCCUUGAAGAAAUCUCCAGCCCAAUUCAAGAUCAAGCCUCGACGGCCCUUGGAUCGACAUCUACAGUAAGGGACUUCAAAACGCAUCUCCUACACGUGACAAGCACAUGUAUACGACGUACCUUGAAGUGGGGGCAUUUGUAGACAUCGAAAUUUCGGUAAAUAAAUGUUGACCGAUAAAUCAAAGUGUCAACGCUCAUGUAUUACAUAAAUUUUACACGUAGCGUGUGACUCAACGAAAAUUGAAAUGAGUUGGAAAAGUCAUCAAAUAGGACACGUGUCAACACCUGGCAGAAACGACUUAUUUAAUCUGGGAUAUUAUAUUCAAAAUUAGGCCUUGAAAAUUUCUAUAAAUAGAAGCCAAUUUCAUUCAUUUCAAAAAAAACCAAAAAAAUCAUUAGGCAAAACUCUUGAAGCUCUGAAGCUCUGAAACUCCGAAGCUCUCAAGCAUCCAGGUUCCCGAAGAAUCAAGAAAGCGUUCUUCGUUCAUCGUUCAUCCUAAGAUCAAGCCCCGACGGCCCUUUGGAUCAACAAUCAUCCACCUUCAAGCCCAAGCCUCAACGGCCCCCUUGAAGAAAGCGUUCAUCGUUCAAGAUCUGUUCAUCCUCAAGGAUCAAGCCCCAACGGCCCCUUUGGAUCGACAACAUCAACAAAUCCGCUCAUCCGCUGUUCAUCAAGCCCAAGUCCUGACGGCCCUUUGAAGAAAGCGUUCAUCGUUCAUCACUGUUCUUCGAGAUCAAGCCCAAAAGCCCUCGAAGAUCCGUUCAAGCCCAAAAGCUCUCGAAGAUCCGUUCGUCACUAUUCUUCGAGUUCAAGCCCAAAAGCCCUCGGAAAUCCGUUCAUCACUGUUCUUCAAGAUCAAGCCCAAAAACCCUUGAAGAUCCGUCAAUCACCAUUCUUCAAGAUCAAGCUCAAAAGCCCUUGAAGAUCCGUUCAUCCUCGUUCAUCCAAGAUCAAGCCUCGACGGCCCUUGGAUCAAUCGCACAUCCCACAAAUCAACACCUUACGGAGAUCGAAUCAGAGGAUCAAAACAGAGAGAGAUUGUAACCUAAAAUCAUCAAAUACAAAUAUUUUGUUUGUGCGCGUUGUUCUUGUCUCUUUCGUUUCAGGAAUUUUCCGUGUUCACAGCAAUGUUUUCCAAAAAAAAAAAAAUAAAUAAAAUGCAAUUUCGUAAAACAGGGCGGGCCCAGGCCCAAUGCGGGCAGGGUAACUGUUCAGGACCCAGAAAAAUUAAGGGCAUCAAAAUUAUUAGUGUGACAUAUUUGUGUACGUUUUUAAAAGAGUAUACAUUUAUAAAAUUUGGUUUAAUGACAAAGAAAUUUAACUAGAAUCAGUGAUUUUGUUGUUUUAAAUUAAUGAGGAGGUAUUGGUUUCAAAACACCAUGUGCUUAAUUAAAUUCUAAUUUUUACAAAUUUCUUUUCAUAACAGUAUAAAUUUAUAAAAUUUGGCUAAAUGAUUAGAAGUUUAAUUAGAAGCAAUGGUUUUUGUAUUUAAAAUUUAACGAGAGGUCCUAAGUUCGAUAUGUUAUGUGCAACUUUAUUUUUAAUUACUAGCUAGUAACUAUGUGGGUUGCUAUUUUAAACAUUCGUUCUAAUUCAAGUCUAAUCUUCAACAAAAGGUAAUGCGUAGACUAAUUUUUUAGACCAAAUUUGCAAAUCAUAUGACGUCUCAUUAAAAGGUUUAAUUUGGUACCCAUUCAUUACUUAUACAUAUCCUUAAAGACUCGAAAAUAUCAUUAUUUUCUUAGUCUUAUAUUGACGAGGUUAGUAAAUAAGAAAAAACAUCUCACAAUUUAUACAAAAACACUUUAAAAGUUCAAAUGGAAGAUAAAACUCAUAAUCUAUCUACUUGUAAGCAUGAAGUUUUUUUGCUUCCUUCUCUCGAUACAAAAUAAAUUAGUUUUUCUGUGUUUCUAAAUUACUGAGUUUAAAGUGUUUUUCUAAAUAUAAUUUUAUGGAUGUUUUACGUGUAAAAACAACUAUUUUUUCUUAUGAAGUGAGGACACAUUUUUUGACGUACCCCCGGACCUCACCAAACUUCAAAAGUUUCUGGAGCGGUCCUGGUAAAACAACGACACUUGUCCUUAUUUAAAUGUCCCAAGUACUUAACCAAACAUCCUUUAUUUCUGUAGCCAAACACUCAUCCUCUUCCUCGCCAAAGCACACAAUCA
RNAcentral lists this long non-coding RNA (60206 nucleotides) under Malus domestica (apple). RNAcentral describes it as "long non-coding RNA (MDOM_LNC001130)". Lineage: Eukaryota; Viridiplantae; Streptophyta; Magnoliopsida; Rosales; Rosaceae. The record is from RNAcentral.